RNAcentral lists this long non-coding RNA (86881 nucleotides) under Citrus maxima (pomelo). Its description in RNAcentral is "long non-coding RNA (CMAX_LNC000648)". Lineage: Eukaryota; Viridiplantae; Streptophyta; Magnoliopsida; Sapindales; Rutaceae. The record is from RNAcentral.
AAGAAAAAUUAUAGGGGUCAAAUGGUAAGAAAAGUUAACAGAUAUAGAUAAAUUACAUACAACAAAUCAAUACCAUGUAACAAACACAAUAUAUCACAUGCUCAUAAUGGAUUAAUUCCUUCUUUUAUUAAAAUAUAGCAUCAAUUUCUUUACAAUUGAUGGUUAUUGCAAAAGUAUUCAUUUGGCAUAAGAGGAAAACUAUUUAACAAAAUCAUGGGUUAUAGAUGAUGGUGUAGUCUUGACUAUCAUGGUGAUACUUAUUGUAACAUUCUUCUGGUGUAAGUCCAAAGCACUUGUCGCUAUCAGGUGAUAUUGCAGAAUUAGAUUCUUGGCCGGUACUAGUGCUUGAAACAUGUGAGUUUUCAAUGCUUGCAACCAAAAGCAAAGCCAAGAUAAUGAAACUGAGACUCUUCGACAUGUUAUAAUUUCUAAACUUAAUUAUAAACAACUUAAUUAAAAUAAAAAGGAGGUGAUGCAUAAGAAAUACAUGAGGCCCUAUAUAUAUGAAUGAAUAUUGAGAAAUGCGUUAUAGUGGCCUUUAUGAUGCUUCCAUGAAUAAGCAUUAUAUAAAUCAUAUUAUGUUUACUUUUAUUAACUACUGACUUUAAUAUCUUGUUGCGUUAUCAUCAAUGGUAACCAAAACAAACAACUAAUUAAUUUUAUCAUUUUAGUAUUAUUUUAUUCUUUUUUGUUGUUGUUUUUUUCUCUUUAUUUAACCAUAUUCAAAUUAUUAUUAUCGCUAUUGUGAAAUUAUAAAUCUGAAAGUCAGUUUUUGCAUUAUUUUAUUUACAAUAACUUUUUAGCUAUGUCUAUAUUAGUAUAUAUCUUAUAUUCAAUUUUUAGAUUAAUGUAUUUUAGUAUUAAUAAAUUCAAUCACGAUAAUCUGAUAACCGCUUAAUAUUAAAAUUUAGUUUCCAAUACUUAUGUUAUUUUAUUAAUUAUAAAAAUACUUUUUAGUAGAUAUAUGUAAAUUUUUUUAACUAUACUUAUUGUAAUAUUUUACUUUUAAUAUGAUAUUUAUAUAUUAUUUUUAUGUAGUGUAUGUAUGUAUCUAUGUCCGUUUACAGUAAGUAUAUACUUAGAUAAUGAUCAAAGAAUAUAAUAGUAAAAAGGGGUUCUAUGUGAGUGAUGGAUCUAGAAAAGUAAUUUACCGGGGGCUAGAAUACAUAAGAACAAGAUGUAAAAACUAAAAUUUUAGGGGUUUUCAGGUUUAUGGAGGUUCAUUUUUUUUCUAAUAGAUUUAAUAAAGGGAUUAAUUAAAUAAUAGUAAGACCACCCAUAUGAGUUAUUGUGGGCUUUUAAUUAAAGAGUGGACUUUUAUAAUUCUUAUAGUUAAAAUUUAAUUUUUAUGAAUUUAUGAGUUUAUGGGAGGCUGUUUUUAUAAAUCCAACAAGGAAUAUUUUUAUAGAUUUGAAGGGGUCUAAUUAGAAACUCAAGUAAUUUUCUCUUUAAUUUUUAGAAUUUAUUUUCUAGAGCGAAACUCAAACCCCACUGGUCAUGUGCUAGAUCUUUAGAACGAUCUAAUCUAUACAAACCAAAUAUCUUCCUCUCUUUAUGUAGUUAAAAAUUAAUUUUUAAGGGUUUUUUGUGUUUAUGAGGACUAUUUUUAUAAAUCCAACAAGGAGUAUUUUUGCAGAUCUAAUGGGUUCUAAUUAGAAAUUUACCUAAUUUUCUCUUUAAUUUUUGGAAUUUAGUUUCUUGAGCGGAGCUCAAACCCACUGAUCUGUGCUAGGUCUUAAGGACGAACUAAUCUAUACAAAUCAAAUAUCACUCCUCCUCACUCGUUCCUCAUAUCUUUUUUGUGAUUUUGUCUAUUAUUGGCCAUACUGAACCAUUCAGUCAUAUUCAUUGAGACUUUGAAAAUGGUUGUUUAUCUAAUGGGAUAAAUGAAAAAUCAACUUGGCAGAAUUAAUUUUUUGUUUUACAUAUAAGCAUCAAAGCAUGUUAUAGAGAAGACUUGACUAGAGAAUUGAGUAAUAAAAGGGCUUUUCCUUGAACUAGUAGAGUUGGCCAAAGCAAAUCAAAGGCCCAAAAACAAACUGAGCUGCCGAUUAAGUUUUGAAUGAUUAAUAGUUGCUUUCAUUAUACAAAAUACACCUACAACCACUUAAUUUAAAAGGCCAACAGAGUGGUGCUGUUGGAGGUUUUUAUUGUCUGUAAGGAGUUCUGUAAGAAUAUGAGAGAAUUAACAUGUUAUUUUGAAAAAAAUAAUUAAUGUUGAUCCCAUAUUCUGGAAACUCUCAAACAAGAAAGAGCUUUUGAUAUCCCAAUAUAAUAAUAAGUGACUACCUAAUUGUCGCGAGGAAAAGAAAAACAAAGAGAUGAAUCAUGAAUUUGAGUUUAAUUUUGGAAUUUUGAUAAAUUGAUUAAGCAAACAUUUAAUUUUCUAGUUUAGUAAAUAAUGUUUUAAAAAAAAAUGAAUAUUCGAAGUACAUUGCAGAGUGCAAAUAACCUCACUCAUUCCUAAAUUACCCACAUGUUAAUUUACCAUUAAAAACAAUUUUAUGAUAAUUUCUACUCUAGACACCUACUGACUACACUCAUUAAUAAUUUAUAAAUAAACUAAUAUUAUUUUCAUCUUAACAAUUUACAUCCCAGAUUUCUUUUGUCGAUCACAAGCGUAGAGAUCUCAUGGUUUCUAUUUUUUCUGAUCCAAUCUGUAAUAUUUUUCAUGCAAUGAAAAUCUUGGAUAUUCUUCUGCUAACUAGCUUUUAGUUAUGGCUUAAGUGAAAUAUUGAAGAUAAAAGGUCUAGGGUUUUAAAAUUAUUUUGGUGGUUGUAGUGAGAAAAUAAAAACUAAGCCAUGGUAAUUGAUAAGCAACAAAAGCAUCAGACAAAUCAACAAGAACCAAGGUCACCAGUUGUGACAAAUAUGGCAGUAUUGUUGCCUUAGCUAAAGGGUUUACUGAGGACAGAUUAAGGAAAGAACGACGCUGGUACACACUUCUAACGGACACAAGAGAAAUCAGUGUACAUGAUUGAAGGAGUCCAACGGCCACAAGCCAAUUUUGAUAUAAAGCGCUCAACGUUAUGAUUCUCGGAAGUUAGUGUAAUUGAUACAAUUUUGAGAACCUUUCAUUUGAUAAUCUGUGUAUAUAAUGUAAUGAUCGAGCAAAUACAAAAACAAGAAAACAAAUUGUUUUCAAUCAAUCUUGUAUUUCUUUAUGGUAUCAGAGCCUAUGGCUACAAAAAUACAAACUAAGCCCAAACUCUCGAUCCAGUCAUUCCACCAAUGUGCAAGCCUAAUUUCCAUCAAACUCAACAACAAUAAUACCUUAUUUGAAGUCGCAAGUCCUGCCACUGCCACUCAUAAGAAGCCUUGAUCUAGAGCAUCAUAUCAAUGAUGCAACAGUUCCACCAAGAAAUAUUUCUAGAUGGAAAAAAGGUCAACAAUCCUGAAUUUACUAUUUGGCAAAAUAAUGAUGGAUUACUCAUGCCUUGGCUUCGGGGAAUGAUGAACGAAGAUAUAAUGACCAUUAUAGUUGGAUGCGUUUCCACUAGAGAUAUUUGGUUAUUUGUGGAAGAGCACAUGCUUCUGCAACUAAAGAACAAUAAUUUUCGUUGAAGAAUAACUUUUACUCUUUAAAGAAGGGUUCCUUAGAGCUUAAAGAAUUCCUUAAGAAAUUGAAAGGGCUUUGUGACAAACUUGCGGCAAUCGGCAAGCCUAUGUUAGAUGAAGAUCAAGUAUUUCAGAUGUCACACGCCCUUGGCUCAAAAUACUCUGACUCUAAAAUGGCAAUGUUGAUAAAAGCCUCCUUAUCCAUCAAUAAAACAAUUUACUUUUGCAUCACAGAAUCAUAAGCAAGUGAUAGUAAGUCUAAAGGAGAAAGAAAGUGUGAACCAUAACGAGGCCUUUUUUGGCCAGCAAGCUAGAGCAAGAAAUCAUCAUGGGAGAGGCUCAAAAGUGAAACCACCAUGAAGGUUCUAAAACCAUGGAGGCUUUCUACACUCAUGUAAUGCAUGUAGUAGCUUGUAGAUAGUUCCAUGUAAUUAUUGAGAUAGGUAGAUAGUUUUAAAGCAUCAUCUAGACAUUUCCUUGUACUCUAUAAAUAGGAGGGGCCUCAUUUGGCUCAACACACACAAGAAAUCCAGCACUGACAUUACUUAAAAGCACUAUAGGCUUUCCUUGAGUAAUAGAGUUCUUUCCUCCCAUCUUGAGCAAGUUUGAGUGAAUACUCUUUCCCACUUUCGAAUCCAGUAACGUUGUGAGUGAGCAAGGUUCACUUAGGACCAAGAGAGUGAGAUUUAGCACCUAAGGCCCUGCGAUUCAGUGAGGGAUCAAGAGGGUCGUGAUAGUUGGUAUCAAAGCCGUAAUCACUCGCGUCAUUUAAAAGGAAGAAUGUCGAACCUCACUUAUGAUGACCAAAGGGGUAGGGACCAAAAUCCCAACUUGAAAAAGAGAAAGAACAACAAGGAGAAGUCCGUGGAUAGGCUGAAUGCCAUUGAGAAUUGGGUUGUUCGUAGGGAGAUUGUUGUCUUUAAGAUAAAGGAGUGCCUCGAGAUCUUCAAGCAAAAGAUGAAAGAGUUUAAUAAUCUUGAGGGACAAAUGGUUGACUUAAGCCAAGACAUGAUGGUGCAACACUAAAGUCUCAAGAAGUUCCAAGCUGUAGUGAUGAACUAAAUCGAGGGGCUAAGAGCUUAAGUGGAGGAGCUUUACACGGGUCAUAAGGAGACCAAGAGCAAUAGGGCACUUUGAAAGAAGGCGGUGGCCAGCGAAGUGCUCACCACUAAUGUCGUACCUUUAAUAAAGAUUGAGGUUCCUGAGACCAAAGAGGUACAAGGGCAAACGAAAUGCCCAAGAGAUUGACAAUUUUCUGUGGUCCAUGGAGAGGUACUUCGAAACCACCAAUGUUCAAGGCGAGCAAGAAGAGGUAAAUAUUACGAUGGGGUAUCUUGAAGAUCACGCAACUACUUGGUGGCAAUAGAAGCAUGCAAAGAUUAUACGCAGGAUGUGUAUUAUCAACACAUGGGACUUGUUCAAGCGCGAGCCAAAGAAGCAAUUUUAUCCAGGGAGUGUAGCGUAAGAGGCUAACAAAAAGAUGAGAGAACUGAAGCAUACAGGGUCCAUCUCGAGAACAUGAACCCAAAUGACUUGUUGUUCAUCUUUAUGGAAGGACUCUAACCAUGGGCACAACGGGAGCUUCAAUGGUACCAAGUGAAUGACACCUCCACUGCCCUCACUGAGGUAGAUAUACUUGUAGAAUUUCGAAAUGAUGAAUCAUCUAAGCCAAAGAAGGAUGAUAAGCCCCAACAUAGGAAAUGUGGAGGUGCAAAUUAAAAGGAGAUAAGCUACCACAUUAUGAUGGCUAAGAAAAACUGUCACAAAAGAAGGAUGGUUUGAAGGAUGGUAAGGAGAAAGUCAAGCGUAAGCAUAACUACUACCUUUGUAAUGUGGACUAUUGGGUGACAAACUGCCUAAAGAAGAAAGCUUUCAAUGCCCUGUUCAACGAGCUCGAAGAGAAACAACUAAAGGUGCCACCAGCUACAGCCGCCAACAUAAGUUGCCUAUGAAAUUAUAAGAGCUUAUUGGUCCUAAAAAAAUUAUAUUUAUAUAUUUCUAUCAAAUGACAAAAAUUCGGUAUGUAGACAGUGUGCCUGAGAUAUAUAAUUUUUAAAUGAAAAUUGCUAAAGGGACUACAGGCUGAUAAAAUGUUAAUAAAUAAUGCCUUGUAGUGUUAUAGUGUACGUUAAUUGACGAUGUUAUAUAAUUUAUUUUAUUAAUGCUUUGUCACUUUUUUAAUCCAAAUAUCUAAAUGAAAAAUGUUGAAACGAUUUCCUACAAAGUACUACAAAGAUGACAAUGAGAUAGGAAAUUGAAACAACAUUUAUUUAUAAAAAUAAAAAAAUUUGCAAACAAAAGGAUCUCACUAUGUAACCAUAUAUAUCAUUUUAUUGAAUUAUUAUUAGCCAGAGCAUCAUCAUGUUUUUCUUUUAUUCAAGGCUUAGUUAUAUAUAAUUAAUUAAGCAAUGGGAUCAACAAUCUAUAUAUCUAUAUAUAUAUAUAAAGUUGGGACUUGAGGAGGUGAUGUGGCAUCACUAUUUCUCAUCAUCUCAUAUUCUCUAUUUUCUAAUAAAUUAGUUCAAAUUAAAAAAUAAUUACAUUACAAAAUAUUAAAAUAGAAGAUAAUUAUUAUAUUAUAAAUGAUUACAUAUCUUUUCCUCUUUCUAUUUAAAUUCAAUAAUAUGUAACCAUUAAUAAUAAUUAAUUAUAAGUCUUGAAACCUUCAUUUAUUUUAUUAUGCCAACAAUUAAAUUUUAGUGGCUUAAAAUACAUAAAUUAAUUGAUUUUAAUAUAUGAAGGAAUGUUCCUUCAUCUUCUCUCAACAAUGCCAUUAGAGCCUAAUUUUAAUGUCAUAAUCCAAUAUUUAAUUAUUCAAUCUUUUGUUUAGUGCAUUUUGGUUUCUUCAAACUCCAUAAACAUUAAAAAUUUAAGAUUUGUGGCAUCAUUACUUCUCAUCUUUUUGUAUUCUCUAUUAUCUAAUAUAUUGGUUGAGAUUAAAAAAUAAUUACAUUUAUAUAUAUAUAAAGCUGGGACUUGAAGAGGUGAUGUGGCAUCACCAUUUCUCAUCAUCUCAUAUUCUCUAUUAUCUAAUAAAUUGGUUUAAAUUAAAAAAUAAUUACAUUACAAAAUAUUAAAAUAGAAGAUAAUUAUUAGAUUAUAAAUGAUUACAUGUCUUUUUUCUCUUUCUAUUUAAAUUCAAUAAUAUGUAACCAUUAAUAAUAAUUAAUUAUAAGUCUUGAAAUAUUCAUUUAUUUUAUUAUGCCAACAAUUAAAUUUUAGUGGCUUAAAAUACAUCAAUCAAUUAAUAUUAAUAUAUGAAGGAAUGUUCCUUCAUCUUCCCUCAACAAUGCCAACAAUGCCAUUAGAGCCUAAUUUUAAUGUCAUAAUCCCAUAUUUAAUUAUUCAAUCUUUUGUUUAGUGCAUUUUGGCUUCUUCAAACUCCAUAAACAUUAAAAAUUUAAGAUUUGUGGCACCAUUAUUUCUCAUCUUUUUAUAUUCUCUAUUAUCUAAUAUAUUGGUUGAGAUUAAAAAAUAAUUACAUUUCUAUAGAUAUAUAUAUAUAAAGUUGGUACUAGAGGAAGUGAUGUGGCAUCACUAUUUCUCAUCUUCUUGUAUUCUCUAUUAUCCGAUAAAUUGGUUGAUAUUAAAAACAUAAUUACAUUACAAAAUAUUAAAAAUAAAAAAAUUAUUAGAUUAUAAAAGAUUAUAUGUCUCUUCCUCUUUUUAUUUAAAUUCAAUAAUAUGUAACCAUUAAUAAUAAUUAAUUAUAAGUCUUCAAACAUUAAUUUAUUUUAUUAUGCCAACAAUUAAACUUUAGUGGCUUAAAUAUAUCAAUCAAUUAAUAUAGGAAGGAAUGCUCCUUCAUCUUCCCUCAAUAUUGCCAUUAGGGUCUAAUUUUAAUGCUAUAAUCUCAUAUUUAAUUAUGCAACCUUUUGUUCAGUGUCUUUUGGCUUCUUCAAACUUUAUAAAUAUUAAGUAGUUAAUAUUUAUGGCGUUAUUAUUUCUCAUCUUUUUAUAUUCUCUAUAAUCUAAUAUAUUGGUUGAGAUUAAAAAAUUAUUACAUUAAAAAAUAUUUAAAAUAGAAAUUAAUUAAUAUAUUAUAAAAGAUCACAUGUCUCUUCUUCUUUCUAUUUAAAUUCAACAAUAUGUAACAAUUAAUGAUAAAUUAAUUAUAGUUUUGAAACAUUCAUUUAUUUUAUUAAGCCAACAACUAAACUUUAGUGGUUUAAAAUAUAUCAACUAAUUAAUAUAGGAAGGAAGGUUAUUUCAUAUUCCAUCAACAAUACCACUAGGACCUAAUUUUAAUGUCAUAAUUUCAUAUUUAAUUAUGCAACCUUUUAUUUAGUGUCUUUUGACUUUUUCAAACUAUAUAAAUAUUAAGUAUUUAAGAUUUGUUAUGUUUGGGUUUUUUUUUUUAAUUAUUUAACCAAUAUCCUCUUUAGAAAUGUUCUUGUGUUUUUAUUUUUUGACUUAUUUAAAUUUUUUGUAUUGUGUACUUCAUGGAGUAUUCUUUUCUUCAUGAGUUAAACAAUGAUAAAGAUAGUUGGAUGAUAAGAAUUAUGUUUUGUAAAAUGUGGGAGUCUGUUAAUACCAAGAAGAAUGAAGAGUUGAUUAGUGUGAACAUAAUUUUUAUUGAUGAAAAGGUUGUGUACACUUAACUAUACACAUUAAUAUAUAUUUUUUAAGUUAGCAAAAAAAUAAUUAACUUUCAUAAAUAACAUUAGUUUUAUAAAGCUGCGCCAUCUUUUAAAAAAAAUAAUUCAUAUUUUUUAUCAGUUUUAUCAAGUGUAAAGUAAUAAAAAAAUAAUACUAAAUUCUUUUUUUAAAGCCGUACGAACUGCGAUUCUAUUUCCUAGUUAAAGAUAAAACACGAGCUUUAGUAAUUUCUUGAACACCGUGUCCGUGACCUUCUCCAAAUUGGUACAUGCAUUGAGACAUCCUCGCCAAAUUCAUUGCAAUCCCAACAAAAACGUCGGACACGAAAUGUGGGUUUCCAAAUCGAUCACGGUUCAUCUUCAUCCAUGUCUGAGCAAUCAAAUCAUGUAUAUGUUCACGAGCCUCUCUCUCUGAGACUCCAGCUUCAUGCAUGUAACAUUGAAUUGAUUUAUGAACAUCUCCCCUCUUCAGCUCAUCCUAAUAAUUAAUUCAAUCAAACUUAUUGUCAACAACGUUAACAAUUAACUAAUUAUCUAAUAAUCAGAUUGUGAGUACUACAAUUUGUUAUGGAGAAUAUCCUAUACUGCUGAGAAUAAUUCCUCAACUGAUAAUAAGAAUAUAUUAUGUUGUGAGUGGAUAUGAGAUAUCUUCCAUAACAAAUUUAAUAUUAAAAAUGAAUUAAUUGUACCGAUGAUUUUCCCAAAUCGUCUGCAAGUCGUAGAAUUAUUGAUGACCAACGAAUUAUGUUGGGAUAAUCUUUCACGAAUUCCAACCCCUCCGUUGUUAUUGGAUUUGCUGUAGAAGUGUAUGCAUGGACUAGAAUUACAGGUGCUGCUACCGAAAUCCAAGCAUUUUCCAUGUACUCUUGGAGUGUUGGUAUGUAGCCGUUGUCGUACCACUUGGCCUCCACUAAAUAUGUUUUGCAUAGAUUUGCCCACUGAAAGUUUUAUUUUUGUAUAUCGAAUUGAUUAAUAUAAUAUCAAAUACAAAAGCAUAAAUUAAAUUAAUUAAAGGGAAAUAAUUUCUAAGCACCUCAAGAAUAUUAUAAAUAUAAUUAGUCACCAUAAAUUUCUAAUAAUAUCUAGGCGCUAACUCAAAUUUUAGUUUUAUAUCAACCAGACAUUUUUUUAUUAACUCUAUUAGCUAUCAUUAAAUAAUUUAAGGUAAAAGACCAAUUUACCCUAAAAUGAAAAACACAUGGUAAAUUGGUGGUGCAAAAUAAUCUUUUAUCUUAUAUUAUUUUAAUAGUGACUAACGGAGUUAAGAGAAAAGUGAUCGGUUUACAUAAAAUUAAAACUUGAAAUGAUGUAGAGAUAAUACUAGUUAUCAUAGUAGUUAUUUAAACUUUUUGAUAUUCUUAAGGUGAUUGGAGAAUAAUAUUCCUUAAUCAAAAUGAAAGGUUUAAUCUACUAGUACCGCUUUCUUAAGAUAAGAAAUGACCAUGCCAACUCCUUGAUCCCGAAGAGCAUCAAAAGCCAUUUCAUUUAUGGAAUUAUGGAGAGCAAGAAAGCACAACUUCGUAUAGUCUGGAAGUUGCUCUAUUGUAGUAGCGUCCCACCUAACAAUGUAAUACAACUAAAUUAAAAUAAGAGAGGUGUAUAAAUUUAUAAAUUCCUGAGUAAUGAUCUAGUGAAUAAUGUGCUCGCUUUAUGCUGGGCAAUACUAUCACAUAAUUUAUAUAAUUACUUCAUAAUUUUAACAAUAUUCAUUAGGAAUCACAAAAUUAUAUCAUGUGUCCAAGUGUUUAUCAUACGAUGAGUACUAAUCCUCACUAAAUCAUUUUCCAUACACAAGCAUACUGAUAGAAAUGACAUUAAAUAAAAGUAACCUCUCAACUGCAUCCGUGAAAAGUUCAAGUUCGUCCAAAGUCCCAUAGACAUCAUAAACAUCAUCUAUUGUUUUUAUUAAGGCAUUGACCAUUGUAGACAUCCGUCUACUAUAUCCAAAAUCCGGUUCGAAUAUCACCCCCACAGUCCAGAAGAAAUUCUCCAUUAUUCUGUCUCUUGCAAAAUUCAACCUCUCCCCAAGUCCUGUUUUCUUCGACCACCUGACCACAUAAUUAAUUAGCAUGAAAUUAAUUGAGUUACAUAAAUACAUGCUCAGUUAGAUUUAAUCAUUCUUGAGUGCGGAUCUCCACAUUUUUACAAAUGCUAUUGUGAAGAUAGCUCAUUAUGCAGAAGUGAAGAAGAAGAAUCAGCAUGGUGUUAAGCCUUGUAACAAGAAUGUCAAGUUACCAGCUGUCAUUAGUGCCACGUCAGAAGAUCCAAGCCAGCAUCAGUUACCAGCUUAACUAACUUGACAAUGCACACUCUGUAUUUUGUUAUUGUUAGUUGAUUGUUAGUGAGCAAUUAGUUAGAGUAUGUAAAGCAUGUAUAAAUAGCUACAUAUUCGAGAUUGUUAACGUGUACAAAAUAUCAGUUCAUUAAUGAAAUAAGAAAUUUUCCUAUGUUUUUCUCAGCUGCCAAACAGCAGCACUUAUCAACUUUUACAAUUUCUUCAUGGUAUCAGAGCCAUUCAUGGCAACCUCAAGCAAUCAAAAUACAGUAGAUACAAAUCAAACAACUUUUUCUUUCAUCACACCAAUCAAAUUAGAUAGAUCUAACUACAUGCUUUGGAAAAAUCAAGUGCUGGCCUCCAUUAGAGGAAAUCGACUUGAAGGAUACAUUAAUGGAGAAAAGAUUGCACCAAAUCGAUUUAUAGCAUCAUCAAGCUUUGCUGGAGCAACUGCUGGAGCUGCUGGAUCUUCUCAACAGAUCGAGAAUCCUGAAUACACAGUUUGGAUAUCUCAAGAUCAAACAUUACUCAGCUAGCUUCUUAGCUCAAUAACCGAAGGUAUUCUCAGUCUAGUUCACUUAUGUAAUACUUCAUUUGAUGUAUGGAAAACAUUAGAGAAAAGGUUUGGUGUACGAUCUGAGGGUAGAGUUCUUCAACUUAAGUAUGAGAUGAGUGUCUUAAGAAAAGAAUUACUAAGUAUUGAAGAAUAUUGCUUAAAAAUGAAACAAGUUACAGACAAAUUGGCGUGUGCUAGUAGUCCUGUAUUAGAUAGAGAUAUGUUGCAACAAAUUCUCAAUGGUUUAAGAGCUGGCUAUUUGGAUUUAGCUACUUUUAUCACAGCAAGCAAGUUGGAUUAUGAUGAUGCUUAUGCUUUAUUACUCACUCAUGAAGCUAGACUUGAACAAAGUCAAAGUGAAAAGCACAUGUUUAAUGCAAACUAUGCUAAUAUGUCUAACUAGAAUAAUAAUAGUAUGAUGAAUGCAUACUAUGCUCAAAUAAGAAGUCAAGCUAGGAGAGGAGGAUAUACAGGAGGUGUCCAGGGCAAUUAUAAUGGUUAUUCAGGUGGUAGAAAUGGCAUGUUUAAUGGUAGAUGAAUAUUUUUAAACUCACAUCCAAGAGGUUUUCCUGCUGGAACUGGUCAUUUUGGUAAUCAUGGAAGAAAUCAAAUGAUGAUGGGAAGUAAUAGAUUUGGUUCUUCUGGAAGAGGUUCAUUUGGAAGUAUUGGUUUUUCUGGUACUGGUAAUUUGCCUUCUUUUGAAUCACAAGCAUCCAACAGUGAUGAUUCCAUGAAUACAUGUCAGAUUUGCUUCAAAGCAGGACAUACAGCUGUUGAAUGUUGGCACAAAUUUGAAGAAAAUUACAUACCUCAGCCACCAAGACAAUUUCAGAGAGAAAAAGGUUCAAAGUCUGCUUACAUAGCUAAUUAUGAACCUGCAUACAUGCCUUACUAUUCAACAAAUGAUGAUCCAUGGCCUGUUAAUAGUACUGGAUUACAAAUGUCACAUUCUGGACAUUCUUGUGUAUAUGACUAUUCUGGUAUACCCUAGGCUGGAGCUGCUUCUGCUGCACAUUGUGAAGGACCUGCAGAUGAAGGCUGGUACCUGAACAGUGGUGCCACUCAUCAUCUAACCAACAGCAUGGGAAAUCUGAAUAUCAGAGAUGAGUUUAGAGGUAAUGAUAAGCUCAUUAUUGGUAAUGGUGAAGGUUUAUCAAUAACUCAUAUUGGUGAUUCUUAUUUUUCAUUCAAGAGUUCACAAUCUCAACCUGCAGAUUCACAUAUUGCACUUAAAGAUAUUUUUCUUGUUCCUUCUAUCACAAAGAACCUAAUAAGCAUUUCCAAACUUACCACUGACAAUAACAUUUCUGUUGAAUUUCUUGGAUCAUUUUGUGUUGUGAAGGAUUUCCUGCUGGAACUGGUCAUUUUGGUAAUCAUGGAAGAAAUCAAAUGAUGAUGGGAAGUAAUAGAUUUGGUUCUUCUGGAAGAGGUUCAUUUGGAAGUAUUGGUUUUUCUGGUACUGGUAAUUUGCCUUCUUUUGAAUCACAAGCAUCCAACAGUGAUGAUUCCAUGAAUACAUGUCAGAUUUGCUUCAAAGCAGGACAUACAGCUGUUGAAUGUUGGCACAAAUUUGAAGAAAAUUACAUACCUCAGCUACCAAGACAAUUUCAGAGAGAAAAAGGUUCAAAGUCUGCUUACAUAGCUAAUUAUGAACCUGCAUACAUGCCUUACUAUUCAACAAAUGAUGAUCCAUGGCCUGUUAAUAGUACUGGAUUACAAAUGUCACAUUCUGGACAUUCUUGUGUAUAUGACUAUUCUGGUAUACCCUAGGCUGGAGCUGCUUCUGCUGCACAUUGUGAAGGACCUGCAGAUGAAGGCUGGUACCUGAACAGUGGUGCCACUCAUCAUCUAACCAACAGCAUGGGAAAUCUGAAUAUCAGAGAUGAGUUUAGAGGUAAUGAUAAGCUCAUUAUUGGUAAUGGUGAAGGUUUAUCAAUAACUCAUAUUGGUGAUUCUUAUUUUUCAUUCAAGAGUUCACAAUCUCAACCUGCAGAUUCACAUAUUGCACUUAAAGAUAUUUUUCUUGUUCCUUCUAUCACAAAGAACCUAAUAAGCAUUUCCAAACUUACCACUGACAAUAACAUUUCUGUUGAAUUUCUUGGAUCAUUUUGUGUUGUGAAGGAUUUGCUUAAGGGACAAGUUCUAAUGCAGGGCAUUGCUGAGAAAGGAUUGUAUAAACUGCUGGUCAAACCUAUGUAUUCCACCAAGAAUUUUGAGUCAUCAUCUGUUGUGUCUCAUAGUCAAGCCAAUAAACCUCUGUCAAUGUUAUCAUUCUGUCAUCUUGCUUCUCAUAUGCCAUCUGUAGAGUUCAUAAAUAAUCCAAACAUUUGUUUACAGAAUGGUAUUGAUGUAUGUUCUGAUAAGCCUAAUAAAAUAGCUCUUUUACACAGAAGAUUUGGCCACCCAAAUUCUCAAAGCUUAUUGCAUUUACUCAAACUUCAUCAUGCUGAUAAGUUCUCUAUGAAUAUGGUUAAACAAGCAACACAACAUUUCUAUGAAGUAUGUCAGUUGGGUAAAAUACACAAAUUGCACUUCCCAAUUACGGAAAUCAAAACCAAAUCAGCACUUGAGCUUAUACACACUGAUCUUUGAGGUCCCUCACAAGUUAUUUCAAGAGAAUGCUUUAGAUAUUAUAUUAGCUUUGUUGACGAUUUCACUAGAUAUACUUGGAUUUACCCAUUGAAAUUGAAAUAAGAAGCUUUAGAAGUUUUUAAGCUAUACAAGUUGCAAGUUGAAAACCAGUUCCAAACAACCAUUAAGAUACUGCAAUCUGACUGGGGGGGGGGAGAAUACAGAUCAUUCACUGAAUUUUUAAAUCAGUGUGGCAUUUUAUUUAGGCACUCUUGUCCACAUACUCAUCAUCAGAAUGGCUUAGUUGAGAGAAAGCACAGACAAAUGGUAGAAUUGGGCCUUACAUUGUUAGCUCAAGCUAAGCUUCAUUUGAAUUUUUGGUGGGAUUCUUUCCAUGCUUCAGUUUAUCAUAUCAAUAGGUUACCAACUUCAGCUCUUAAAAUGUUGACACCAUAUGAAAAACUUUUCAAACAUAAAGCUGAUUAUAAGAUGCUGAAAUGUUUUGGCUGUGCUUGCUAUCCAUACUUGAGAGAUUACAAUAAGCAUAAGUUUGAUUAUCACACAAGUAAAUGCAUAUUCAUUGGUUAUAGCCUUGCUCACAAAGGAUAUAAACGCAUGCAUCAUUCUGAUCGUAUAUACAUAGCAAGGCAUGUCAUAUUUGAUGAAAAUGCAUUCCCUUUCUCUUCAGAUCCUAAUUUCAAUUAUGAAAGUAAAAUACAACCAAUAUCCAGCUAUACUUUGUCUCCUCAUCAAGUUUGUCAUUUGUCCACUCUUCCUGUUGUGUCAAAUCCUUGUGAUAGCAGUUUUGAAUCCUGUCCUCCAGCAUGUUCCAACAACACAGAACUGUUCCCACCAGCAGAUAACCUCCAAGCAAAUGAGGCUACACAACUUCAAACACCAAAUCUUAAUCCUGCUCUUGAACCUACUCAUGAUCAAAACUCACCAAACACUUCAAAUUUUACUCCAAUUCUAUUACCAUCUCAAUCUCAAAUAACCUCAAACAGUAUUCAACCUUUACAAAAACAAUCACCCCAUGAUCACAAGAGGAAAAACAUGUAUUUUUAAACCAAAAAUGUAUACUGCAGUGUUAGUUCACAAAGAGCCAGAUUCAGUUUAUGAAGCUUUGCAAGAUACAAACUAGUUUACAGCUAUGAAAAAUGAGUAUGACGCACUAAUCGAAAAUAGAACUUGGUCUUUAGUACCAAGAACAGAAAACCAAAAAAUUGUUGGGAAUAAGUGGGUGUAUAGGAUAAAGUAUAAUACUGAUGGCAGUGUAGCUAAGUAUAAGGCUCGGUUGGUGGCAAAAGGGUUUCAAUAGAUUGAGGGUGUGAAUUAUUUUGAUACUUUUAGUCCAGUGGUAAAGCCAGCAACAGUUAGAGUAGUUCUUAAUUUUGCAGUGAUGAAUCCGUGGAUAGUUAGACAGGUGGAUGUCAACAAUGCAUUCUUAAAUGGUGAAUUGUCAGAAGAGGUGUUUAUGCAGCAACUUGAAGGAUUUGUUGAUAAAAGCAAACCUAACUAUGUUUGCAGAUUACACAAAGCAUUAUAUGGUCUUAAGCAAGGUUUGAAAAGCUCAGAGGAUGUCUUCUGCAAUGGGGUUUCAGAAAUUCCAAAUCUGAUUCUUCUUUAUUCUUAAGAAGAACUAAAUUGUCACUCAUUAUGGUAUUGAUAUAUGUUGAUGACAUAUUAGUUACUGGACCUAACAGUGGAGAAUUGGACAGCUUCAUUCAAUAAUUUAAUACUGUUUUUGCUUUGAAAGACUUAAGAAGGUUGUCUUAUUUCCUUGGUAUAGAAGUGUUGUAUGGUCAGGAUUGCAUUUAUUUGUCUCAGAAGAAGUAUAUAAGAUAUUUGCUUGCUAAAGUAGAUAUGCUUGAUUGUAAAGGAGUGAUAACACCAAUGUGUAGUGGCAAGGACUCAAAGUUACAGAAGAUAGUUAAAGAAGAAUUGGGUUACUAUGUUGAAGAUGCUACUCAUUAUAGAAGCAUUGUAGGUGGUCUCCAGUACCUGAUCUUGACAAGACCAGAAAUUGCUUAUUCUGUUCAUAAGCUGAGCCAAUAUGUAUCUGCACUAAUUAUGCAACAUCUUAUGGCUUGCAAAAGGGUUCUUAAAUAUCUAAAGGAGACACAUGAUUAUGGCUUAAAGUUUGUUAAGGAUGGUGAUAUGAAAAUUACUUCAUUCACUGAUGCAGAUUGGGGAAGUGACUUGGAUGAUAGGAAAUCAAUUGGAGCUUACUGUGUGUAUCUUGGAAAUAAUCUGAUUUCAUAGUCUUCGAAGAAGCAAACAGUAGUCACUAAGUCUUCAGCUGAGAGUGAAUAUAGGGCACUUGCUUUAGCUGUUUCAGAAAUAGCUUGGUUAAAAUCAUUGUUUCUGGAAAUGAGAGUAUGCUGUGUAGAGAGACCAACAAUAUGGUGUGAUAAUAUGAGUGCAACAGAACUAGCAAAGAAUCAUGUAUUCUAUUCAAGAACUAAACACAUUGAGAUUAAUGUUCAUUUUAUUCGAGAUAAAGUGUUAGCUGGUGACCUCAAAAUCUGUUAUGUGCCAAGUGAAGAUCAGAUUGCAGAUAUCCUAACCAAGCCCUUAUCUUCUCCUCAGUUCAAUUACUUAAGGGACAAACUCAAUGUCUUUCCAUGUCCUUUGAGUUUGAGGGGGGCUGUGAAGAUAGCUCAUUAUGCAGAAGUGAAGAAGAAGAAUCAACAUGGUGUUAAGCCUUGUAACAAGAAUGUCAAGUUACCAGCUGUCAUUAGUGCCACAUCAGAAGAUCCAAGUCAGCAGCAGUUACCAGCCUAACUAACUUCACAAUGCACACUCUGUAUCAACUUGCCUAAUUGAUCAUUGAUUCAUUACUGCAAGACUUAGCACAACUCUGACAGUGGUUGGUUUUAUCACUGGACUGAAAGUCUCAAAAUAGUUCACCCUUGCAAUCUGCUGAAAACCCUUUGCCACUAACCUAGCUUUAUACUUAGCUAAACUGCCAUCAGUAUUGUGUUUAACUCUGUAUACCCACUUAUUGCCAACUAUCUUUUGAUCACUUGUUCUUGGAACCAAUGACCAUGUAUUGUUACGAGUUAAAGCAUCAAAUUCAUUUUUCAUAGCUGCAAACCAAUUUGGAUCAUGUAAUGCCUCAUGAACUGUAUCUGGUUUCUUAUGUUCAAGAACUGCUGUGUAUACCUUGGGUUUAAAGAUACCAGCUUUACUCCUGGUAAUCAUUUGGUGUGUGUUUGGUUGAGAUGAGGGUUGUUGAAUGAUUAUUGAUGUUUGUAUAUUGGAUGAAAUAGGUAUUGGUUAAUUGUUAGGUGAAGUGGAUGGAGACGAUGUAGGUUGAAUAGGUAAAAUGUGAGAUUGUAUAGGAUCUUCUGGUAUAGUGUGUUGGGUUGAAGUUGAGUUAACCAAGUGGUCAGAACCACUGCAAUUGGAACUUACAGAGUCAGGAUUAGUCAAGCUGCCAUCAGGAGAAAAAGAAGUUACAGAUAGAGUAGUGAGAUGAUCGACUUGUUGAGGAGUAAGAUGAAUAGGAGAGCAAAAAUUGGAUUUCUGUGACUCGUAAAUAUUUGAGUAAGGAAAUGUAUUUUCAUCAAAAACAUGUCUAGCUAUGUAUACUUUUCCAGAAGGAUGAAGACACUUAUACCCUUUGUGAGAUGGACUAUAUCCAACAAAAAUGCAUUUAUUCGAAUGAUAGUCAAAUUUAUGUCUAUUAUAAUCUCUUAAGUAGGGAUAACAACAGUAACCAAAACAUCUAAGCAUGUUAUAAUCUGGUUUAUGAUUGAACAAUUUCUCAUAGGGUGUAUCAAAAUGAAGAGUGGCAGAGGGUAAUCUAUUAAUGUGAUACACUGCUGUAUGAAAGGUAUCCCACCAAAAUUUAAAAGGUAAGUGAGCUUGAGCUAGUAAGGUGAGUCCUAGUUCAACAACAUGUCUAUACUUUCUUUCAGCUACCCCAUUUUGAUAAUGUGUGUAAGGACAAGGGUGUCUAAAUAGGAUUCCAGAUUGAUUCAAAAAGCUAGUGAAUGGUCUAUAUUCCCCUCCUCAAUCAGAUUGCAACAUCUUAAUGGAGGUAUCAAAUUGUUUUUCAACUUGUUAUUUGAAGAGUUUGAAUACUUCUAAGGCUGCUGACUUAGUUUCAAAGGAAAAAUCCAGGUAUACUUACUAAAGUCAUCUGCAAAGCUGAUAUAGUAUGAAUAACCCUCUUUGGAAGGAUGAGGUGAAGGGCCCUAGAGUUUGUAUGUAUUAGUUCAAGAAUUUUAGUUGUUUUGGUUUCAGUAGUAGAUGUUAGCCUAUAUGGCUAUAAAUAUUGAUUUUGAUGAUAACAAACCACAUGUAUUUAUUAAGCAAAGAUUUAUGAAUUUUGCUUUUAUAAUAAGAAAAUGAUGUUAUGGAAUUAAAGCAUUUUGGACUAAAAUGAAAGUAAUUUCAAAAUCUUUGAUAGUGUUUUAAAUUUCAGAUUUGGACCUAUUUGAAACUAUUUAAAUAUUUUUGGGCCAUUAUAAAAUUUCACAAAGUUUGGGUGAAAUCAUAAUUUUAAAAAGUUUUGGGAUUAACGAAGUAUUACUUAGAAAUUCUGAAAUUGGACCUAUUUGCAAACUUUUAUAACGUUUUGGGCCAUACUAUAGUUUUAUAAAGUUUGGGGGUCAAACUAAAAAUUUGGGAAAAAUUUCACUGUAGCAGGUUAUUGUAGCAAGCGGCUUACCGGAUUUCGUAACCGGCAAGCCAGAUAGGCAAAAUUUAAAAUUUUGCCUUAACGGUAACAUAAAUUCAGCUUACCAAAUUCCAUAAACGGCAAACUGGAUACGCCCAGAAUGUGAGUAAUGGCUAGUUUUUGAGCUCAAACUAUAAGAACUCAAAUCCAACUCAUUUUGAAGCUCUCCCAACAAGCAAAAACAAAAAGCACACGUGAUAUCUUGAGCCUUCAAACUUGCGAAAUACAAAUAUUGAAUCAUUUAUUGUUCUUCAUUUUUGAAUAUCUACUCAUUGAGUGAGUUUCAUUGUAACCUUCAUUUAUUCAUCUCAAUUGUAAGAGUUUGAGUGUGUGAGACACUUGAGUGAAGAGAUUAGGAGAUAAUCUCUUUGUUGUAAAGGUUUAUUGACACCUCGAAGUCAAUUGUAAUCGUUGAAGCCUUGGAAAGGCUUGGAUAGUGAAAUCCUCAAGCUUGGAUCGCUUGGAGGCGUGGACGUAGGCGGAGAUUGCCGAACCAUCUAAAAAUUUGUGUGUUUGUUUCUCUUCUCCAUUACUCUUUAAUUAUUGUGCUUUUCUUGAACUUAUUGCUUUCAAUUUUUAUUAAGACAUUAUAUUGCUUGUUGUGUGGAUUUGUUAGGAUAAUUUUUAAAUUUCCAAUUCACCCCCCCUCUUGGGUUGCACACUUAUAUUUCAUUUGGUAUCAGAGCAAGGUGCUCUUAUUUAGACUUAACUAUCUAGAGCUAAAGAUCAAUGGCAACUAAAAAUGAUUCCACAUUUAGGGAAGGACAGUCCACCACUAGACCACCUUACUUUGAUGGAAAUGAUUACCCAUAUUGGAAAACUAGGAUGAGAAUUUACUUGUAAGCCUUAGAUUAUGAAAUUUGGGAAAUCGUUAAUGAUGGUCCUUUCAUGCCUUUGACUAAAAAUGAAGUCGGAGAAGAUAUUCCAAAACCUUCACGGGAUUGGAAUGAAUUCGAAAAGAGAAAAGCUUUUCUAAAUUCCAAGGCCAUGAAUGCCUUGUUUUGUGCACUAGAUAAGAAAGAGUUUCAAAGAGUGUCUAGCUGCGAAAGUGCUAAUGAGAUUUGGCACAAACUUGAAGUUGUCUAGGAAGGCACAAACCAAAUGAAAGAAUCUAAAAUAAGUAGGUACACUUGACAAUAUGAAUUGUUCCAAAUGGAACAAAAUGAAAAUGUGUACUCUAUGUAUACUAGAUUUACGGACAUAGUGAACACUCUAGGAGCCCUAGGGAAGACUUUUUCAAAUAGCGAAAAAGUCAAGAAAAUCAUUAGGUCACUACCUAAGAAAUGGAGACCAAAAAGGACUGCCAUUGAGGAAGCCAAGGAUUUAAAUGUAUUACCUAUUGAUGAUUUAAUUGGUUCUCUCAUUUCAUAUGAAGAAGAUUUAGCAGCUGAAAAAUGGCAUGAGGAAAAGAAGAAGAACAUUGCUCUCAAGGCUUUAAAACGUGAGAGUGAUGAGGAAAGCGAAAUGGAUGAUGAGGAGCUGGCCAUGUUGGUUAGAAGAUUCAGAAAAUUUUACAAAAAGAAUAAUGAGCAGAGAAAGUUCAGAGGCUACAAGAAUAAGAAUGAGAAGAAUGAGCCAAUCACUGUAAGAAGCCCGGACACAUACGACCGGAAUGUCCUCUUCUCAACAAACUUAAGAAGAAAGCUAUGGUGGCCACAUGAGAUGAUAGCGAUGAGGAAACAAGUGAUGAUGAUGAGCAAUAAGAAAUGACAAAUUUAGCUCUCAUGGCUGUUGGGGAAGAAUCAUGUGAUGAACUUGAUGAGGUAAGUGUUCUUCCUACGUAUGAUGAAUUGCAUGAUGCUUUUAAGGAUUUGUAUGAUGAGCUAAUGAAGAUUGGUAAAAAGAAUGUAUGUCUUAAAAAGAAGAUGAUAGAGCUUAAGAAUGAAAAUGAUUCAUUUAGUACAAAGAUUACAUGCCUAGAAUUAGAAAAUAAAAUAUUGCAUGAUAGUAUUGCAUCAUUUGAGAAUUCUAGCACUUCACAUGAGCACUUAGAGUCACACAUGAAUGACUUGAAAAAAGAGAAUGAAAUGCUUAGAAAGAAGAGCAAUGACCUAAAUGAAAUUGUGCUAAAAUUCACAAAUGGGCAAAAGAUGUUGGACAAUUUGCUAAACUCGCAAAAAUGUGUAUUUGACAAAAGUGGCAUAGGUUAUAAACCGAACUUGAAACAAAAAUUUUACAAGAGUUAUUUUGUGAAGAAUACAUCUAUUAACAAUCAAAUUGUAUGUCAUUUUUGUAAUCAAGAUGGUCAUAUGAAAAAUAGAUGUGUAGUAAAGAGAAAUGCAUAUUAUGGUGUGAAAUGUGUUUGGGUUCCGAAAGGAACCAUUGCUAACUCUCAAGGACCCAAAAAGGUUUAGGUACCUAAAACUUGAGAUUUUCUCUACAGGGCUUGAAGAAGAAGAAGAAGAAGUGGUACUUGGACAGCGGUUGUUCAAGACACAUGACAAGGAAUUAUUCUUGGUUUUCAAGUUUCACUAAGAUCGAAAAUGGUGGAGAUGUAUCGUUUGGAGAUAAUUAAAAAGGAAAAAUCAUUGGGAUUGGAAAUGUCGGUAAUGUAUCCUCUACUCUCAUUGAAAAUGUGUGUUUGGUUGAAAACUUGAAACACAAUUUGCUUAGUAUUAGUCAAUUAUGCGAUAAAGGAUAUAGAGUUAUCUUUGAUGAAUCAAAAUGUGUUAUUGAGAAUGCAUGUGAUGGGAAAGUCUUGUUUGUAGGAAAUAGAUGUGUUAAUGUCUAUACCAUUAAUAUAGAUUGUGCAUCAAUACAUGAUAAAUGUCUCUCCGCAUUGCAUGAUGAUGGCUGGUUGUGGCAUAGAAGAUUAGGUCAUGCAAGCAUGGAUUUGAUUUCAAAAAUCGUGAAAAAUGAUUUAGUUAAAGGUCUUCCAAAAAUCAGUUUUCAAAAAGAUAGAAUUUGUGAAGCAUGCCAAUUUGGAAAACAAAUCAAAACUUCCUUCAAAGCAAGAAUCAUGUCUCUACUUCAAAACCACUUCAAUUGCUUCAUAUAGAUUUAUUUAGACCUUCUAGAUAUGCUAGUUUAAGUGGCAAAUAUUAUGCAUUUGUAAUUGUGGAUGAUUAUUCUAGAUACACAUGGGUAUUGUUCUUAGCUAAUAAGGAUGAUGCCAUUGAUGUAUUUCAAAUUUUCUAUAAAAAGGUUCAAAAUGAAAAAGGUUAUUCUAUUACUUGUAUUAGAAGUGAUCAUGGUGGAGAAUUUGAAAAUCAUGCAUUUGAAAAUUUUUGUAAUGACCUUGGCAUUGAACAUCAAUUUUCAUCACUUAGGACACCACAACAAAAUGGAGUAGUAGAGAGAAAGAAUAGGUCUAUUCAAGAAAUGGCUAGGACCAUGUUGAAUGAAAACUCUUUGCCUAAGUAUUUUUGGGCCGAAGCCGUCAACACCGCUUGUUGUGUUUUAAAUCGGGUGUUGAUUAGACCUAAUCUUAAUAAAACUCCAUAUGAGCUUAGAAAGAUAGAAAACCCAACAUUGGCUAUUUUAAAGUUUUUGGAUGCAAAUGUUUUGUUUUGAACACAAAAGAUAAUCUUGGUAAAUUUGAUCCAAAAUCUGAUGUUGGCAUUUUUCUUGGUUAUUCAAAUUCAAGCAAAGCUUAUAGAGUUUAUAAUAAAAGAACUUUAAUUGUGGAAGAAUCUAUGCAUGUUACAUUUGAUGAGUCUAACCCCUCCUCUACGGAGAAAGUUGUUGUUGAUGAUAAUGCAGAAGAAGAACAACAAGAAGAAGCAUCGAAUAACAACCAAGAAGACGCGCCACAUGGAAUUCAAGAAGAACAUCAUGAAGAAACAAAUGCAGAGCAAAAUGAAGGUACUUCACAAACACUCCCCAAGGAGUGGAGGUAUGUAUCCUCUCACCCUAAGGAUGUAAUUUUAGGGGAUCCCUCGCGAGGUGUUACCACUAGAUCAUCUCUUAGAAACACAUGUGAGCAUGCUGCAUUUAUUUCUCAAAUUGAACCAAAAUCCUUUGCGGAUGCGGAAAAUGAUGAAUCUUGGAUUAUGGCAAUGCAAGAUGAGCUAAAUCAAUUUGAGAGAAACAAUGUGUGGGAGUUAGUUCCUAAUCCGGAACAUCAAUCCAUUAUAGGUACUAAAUGGGUAUUUAGAAACAAAAUGGAUGAAUCCGGUGUGGUUGUAAGAAAUAAAGCUAGAUUAGUGGCUCAAGGUUACAACCAAGAAGAAUGAAUUGAUUUUGAUGAAACUUUUGCACCUGUAGCAAGGUUAGAAUCCAUUAGGAUGUUGUUAGCAUAUGCAUGUCAUAAGGAUUUUAUUUUAUAUCAAAUGGAUGUCAAGAGUGCUUUCUUAAAUGGAUAUAUUAUGGAGGAAGUUUAUGUAAAACAACCUCCUGGUUUUGAAAAUAAAAAAUUUCCAGAUCAUGUGUAUAAGUUAUCCAAGGCUUUGUAUGGUUUAAAACAAGCACCUAGAGCUUGGUAUGAGAGGCUUAAAAAUUUCUUGUUGGAUAACGAUUUUUCAAUGGGAAAAGCGGACACAACUCUUUUUGUUAAGCAUAAGAACCAAGACAUACUUAUUGUUCAAUUUUAUGUUGAUGAUAUUAUUUUUGGUUCUACUAAUGAGUUGUUGUGUAAAGAUUUUUCAUCAUGUAUGAGCCAAGAGUUUGAGAUGAGUAUGAUGGGAGAGUUAAAGUACUUCCUUGGACUUUAAAUCAAACAAAACGAGGAAGGAAUUCAUAAACCAAGCCAAGUACGUGAAAUAUCUACUCAAAAGAUUUGGCUAUGAUAAUGGAACGGAAAAAAGCACUCCUAUGAGUACUACCAUCAAGCUGGACAAAUAUGAGAAAGGUAAGGAAGUUGAUAUCAAGACAUAUCGAGGUAUGAUCGGAUCCUUACUUUACUUGACUGCUAGUAGGCCUGAUAUUAUGUUUAGUGUUUGCUUGUGUGCUAGAUUUCAAUCUUGUCCUAAAGAGUUUCACAUGCUUGCUGUCAAACGCAUUUUUUGAUAUUUAAUUGGCACUAUUAAUCUUGGCCUUUGGUAUCCUAGAGGAACUCAUAUUGAUUUAACUUGUUAUUCGGAUGCCGAUUUUGCUGGGUAUAAGGUUGAUAGAAAAAGUACUAGUGGAACAUGUCACUUCCUAGGCCAUUCUCUUGUCUCUUGGUUUAGUAAGAAACAAAACUCGGUUGCGCUUUCAACCACUGAGGCAGAAUAUAUUACCGCAGGUAGUUGUUGUGCACAAAUUCUUUGGAUGAAACAAACCCUUAGAGACUAUGGUAUUAAGCUUGAUCAAAUACCUAUCUUAUGUGACAAUACUAGUGCUAUAAAUCUUUCCAAGAAUCCCAUUCAACAUUCUAGGACUAAGCAUAUAGAAAUUAGACACCAUUUCCUUAGAGAUCAUGUUCAAAAAGGAGAUGUCGUAAUUAAAUUUGUUUCCACUGAAAAUCAACUUGCAGAUAUCUUUACAAAACCUCUUAGCGAAGAGCAUUUUAUAAAGAUAAGACAUGAGCUUGGAAUGAUGAAUGUUGAAUCUUAAUUCAUGUUUUACUACAUGACUUGAUAUGUUUGUUAUCAUAUUAAUUUAUGCUUCAUUAAUUAGAUAGCUUGAUAUGCUUGUGAAUUUAUGAUUUUAUGAUUUUGUGUUUCAUGCAUUAAAUGACUUUUUGAAAAGUUUUAAAUCUCAAAAUGAUUUAAAAUUAAUCAAUUUUUAAGGCUGGAAAUAAAAUGGUGUGUGUAGUACAAGUAUAAGAGCUAGCAAAUAUUCCCUUUCCAUUCAUCAGGAAAAAUAUUUUUUUUUUAUUGAUUUCUCUCGGGACAAAUUCUGGAUAACCGGAUUUUCAAUCCGCAAAAUCGGAUUUGCUAAGCCACCUCUCUGCCUCAUAACCGGUCUACGGGUUCUUUAAUCCGGAAAACCGAAUUUGGAAGGGAACUCACUGCCUCACAACCGGUCUACCGGUUAGCAAAAUCGGAAAGCCGAAUUUACAUGUAUGCUUGCUGGAACAAAACCGGAUUUUCGGUUCAAGACAAUCCGAAAAGCCGGAUUUUUGGAAGUUCUCAAAACCGGCCAGCCGGUUAAGAAAACUGGCAAGCCGAAUUCCCUCAUGUUGCUCUCGGGUUCAUAUCCGGUCAACCGGAUUUCAAAUCCGGCAGAACGUUUUUGCUUGUUUGGUUUCUAUCCAAUAACCGGCUUGCCGGUUAGGAAAUCCGACAAGCCAGAUUCGUGAGCCUUUUGUGCUGUUCAUCCUCUUCCUCAUGCAUUCAGUAAUCCGACUCUUCCUCUCUCUAAAAAUCGUUUGCUUCUCUCUCAUUUUUCAUUCCAAAAUCCACCAUUUCUACUCGAUUUUGAUGCAAAUCAAUCCAUAAAUCUUGAUCCCUAUCCGUUCUUAUACCUAAAAUCACACUCAAAACUCAUUUUCAACCUCCAAAUCCCUAGAUCCGAAUUUCAACCUAGGUUUUGGGCCUAUUUUUCUCUCUCUAGAUUUCUCACUCUCAAGCUGUUUUUGAUCCAAUUUGUUUCUCCAAAUCACUUUCAAUCUUCAUCAUCUUCAUUCUCUUUGGUGUUUUUAUCUUCAAAUCCAUCAAAAUCAAAAUGUCAAGCUCUCGGCCGGUUCGAAGAAAAGGCAAAGAACCGGUUCAACCAACCACCCGGCCACGGGAAGCAAGGGGCACCUCAAAUCAAUCCACUUUUGAGUCCAUUCAUUUUCAGAACAAGCAACAAUUGAUCAAACAGUUUCAACAAAACUUUCGGACUCGUGAGGUACUCAACACUUUCUUUGUUUUACCGGAUGUUAUGCAUACUCUCAAGAUUAGUUAUAGAAAUAUAUUUCAAUUGUUGGGAGAUGUUGGUUGGAUUGAUGCAUUGUUGAUUGAGGAGAAUGUGUAUCCCGACUUGGUGAAAGUAUUUUACUCGAAUAUGGAUUGUUCCGCGGAGAAAGAGAAUCGAGUAAUCACCACAGUUGGAGGAGUUUUGAUUGAAUUUGAUGAUUCGGAGUUGAACUCCAUCCUAGGAUCUUUCGAUGAUGGCCUGGACAUUUUUUCUCUUAGGAAACCUCCUGAUAUUGAUGACUAUGUUCAUGUUGAUGCCAUUCGUAAUAUUUGUCGGCGUAGUGAUCUUUCUAUUGAAGACUGUACCAUUCAUUUCCGUACUCAGUGUCUUUGUCUUCAAACUCAUAUUUUGCCUCGUAUCAUCCAGUCCAUUGUACUUCCUAGAUCAGGACAUUUGAAUGAGGUUUCUCACAUGGAUGUCGCCAUGAUUGACUGUAUUCUUAGAGGUCGCCCGGUUAACUUGGGCUAUUCCAUCAUCCGCACCAUGUUGAGCAUUCCUGCCUUGAUUACCCGCUCUCUUCCUUAUGGUCACUUCAUUACCCAAAUUCUUAAAUUCUUUGAAGUGCCGAUUCUAGAACCAUCUUGUAGGCCGUCCAAGGGUAUCGGGGAUGAGGUUAUUAUUGGGUUAGGCUUUGAGUAAAAGGAUGGCACUUGGGUCAAAUACAACGAUAACAAGUUUACCUUUCUAGCCCCAAGUGAUGAUCAGCAACUUAAUGCUGUGAUUCCAGCUGAUCAGCUUCCAGUUUUCUCACUCUCAUUUCGAGGGCAGCGUAGACGCCGAGUUUCUUCCACGGUUGCUUCAGCUCCUAGUGCAUCUACAUCCGCUUCAUCACCUCCACAUCCUCCUACCUCUGAAGAGGUCACUCUUCAGCAGAUUAUGGAUGAAGUGCAGACACUCUCUAUGCGGCAGACUGAGUUUCAGCAACAGCAGUAGCAGCAGCUUAUUCAUGGACAGUGCCUCAUCUCCGAGCACUUCGGCAUUCCAUAUCCAUUUCCACCUCCAUCACCUCCAUCCUCACCACCUGAGUAGUAUCUUAUGCUUGUACUUGGACACAUCUACAUUUCAUUUACUGCAUUGUGUGUUCGUUUAUUUUCGAAUCUAUGGAUGGUUAUUAUGCUUUUCGGUUUAUGUCUUUGUUUUGGAUGAUAUGGAUUUGUUGUGACUAUUUAUGUUGGAUGUUAUGGAUUUGUUUUGAUUGAUCAUUAUGGAUUAUAUGGAUUUUCUUAUGCUUAUGGAUAUUUUUUUUUACUAAUGUGCUUAUGUUGCGAUUUUGAUGAUUGAUAGGGGGAGUCUUUAUUCUUUUUUAUGAUGAAGGAGGAGAAUGAUUUAAUAUGUGUUAUGAAAAUAUGCAUGUAUCUAGGGGGAGCAUGUAUGCAAGGGGAGUUUUUGUUAAAUAAUUUUCAAAUCAUUUUUUAACUUGCAUUGAUUAAGGGGGAGCUUUUCAUAACUAGAUUAAAUUUGAAUGUGUUUUGUCAUCAUCAAAAAGGGGGAGAUUGUUAGCCUAUAUGGCUAUAAAUAUUGAUUUUGAUAAUAACAAACCACAUGUAUUUAUUAAGCAAAGAUUUAUUAAUUGUGCUUUUAUAAUAAGAAAAUGAUGUUAUGGAAUUAAAGCAUUUUGGACUAAAAUGAAAGUAAUUUCAAAAUCUUUGAUAGUGUUUUAAAUUUCGGAUUUAGACCUAUUUGAAACUAUUAAAAUGUUUUUGGGCCAUUCUAAAAUUUCACAAAGUUUGGGCGAAAUCAUAAUUUCAAAAAUUUUUGGGAUAAACGAAGCAUUACUUAGAAAUUCUGAAAUUGGACUUAUUUGCAAACUUUUAUAACGUUUUGGACCAUACUAUAGUUUUAUAAAGUUUGGGGGUCAAACUGAAAAUUUGGGAAAAUUUUCACUGUAGCAGGUUACUGUAGCAAGCGGCUUACCGGAUAUAAAAACUGAAAAACCGAAUACGGGGCAGUAAGCAUCCAGAACGCAAACGACUUACCAGAUUUCGUAACCGGCAAGCCGGAUAGGCAAAAUUCAAAAUUUUGCCUUAACGGUAACAUAAAUUCGGCUUAUCGGAUUCGAUAAACGGCAAACCGGAUAUGCCCAAAAUGUGAGUAACGACUAGUUUUUGAGCUCAAACUAUAAGAAUUCAAAUCCAACUCAUUUUGAAGCUCUCCCAACAAGCAAAAACAAAAAGCACACGUGAUAUCUUGAGCCUUCAAACUUGCGAAAUACAAAUAUUGAAUCAUUUCUUGUUCUUUAUUUUUGAAUAUCUACUCAUUAAGUGAGUUUCAUUGUAACCUUCAUUUAUUCAUCUCAAUUGUAAGAGUUUGAGUGUGUGAGACACUUGAGUGAAGAGAUUAGGAGAUAAUCUCUUUGUUGUAAAGGUUUAUUGACACCUCGAAGUCAAUUGUAAUCGUUGAAGCCUUGGAAAGGCUUGGAUAGUGAAAUCCUCAAGCUUGGAUCGCUUGGAGGUGUGGACGUAGGCGAGGAUUGCCGAACCACGUAAAAAUUCAUGUGUUUGUUUCUCUUCUCCCUUACUCUUUAAUUAUUGUGCUUUUCUUGAACUUAUUGCUUUCAAUUUUUAUUAAGACAUUAGAUUGCUUGUUGUGUGGAUUUGCUAGGAUAAUUUUUAAAUUUCCAAUUCACCCCCCUUCCUGGGUUGCACACUUAUAUUUGAGCAAGAAAAUGCAAUCUAUGUGAUUUUCUCAUUUGAGAUUCUUCAUAAAUGAUUGCAAGUGCUUGCUGUUUUACAUUGUGAGAAAUAUUAUUAGACUUGACUUGUUUGAGCAAAUGCAUUAGUGUAUGAAAAUUGGGAUGGCCAAAUCGUUUAUGCAAAAGAAGAAUUUUAUUCAUUGCUGAAUUGCAUGAAUCAACAACAAUAUGAUGACAGAUCUUAUUAUCUAAAACUUUGCUCUAGACAAUGGAUUGACAAUUAAAACUAGAAUGACAAACAAAUAACAUUGACAAAGGCCUAUUAGAAAUAGUUUGACAUAGAAAAGAAGAAGGAAGUGUUUGUGCAGAUGGCUUUAAAAGCAGCUUGUAUAAUCCUUUCUCAGCAAGACCUUGCAGAAGAACUUGCCCCCCUCAGUGUAUCCUUCACAUAACAAACAUCACCAGAAAAUUCAACUAUCAAGUUAUUAUCAGUGGUGAGUUUGGACAUGCUUAGCAUGUUUUUAGUAAUUGAAGGAACUAGUAGGAUAUCUUUGAGUGCUAUUUGUGUAUGAAUAGAUUUGGCAUUUGAAUGUGAGUGUUUAUAACAAAGGAAAGCAUCACCAAUAUGAGUAAUAACCAAACCUUGACUAUUGCCAAUGAUGAGCUGAUCUGACCCUUUGAACUCCUCUCUGACAUGCAUGUUAGACAUGUUGUUGGUCAAGGGAUAAGUGGCACCACUAUCGAGAUACCAUCCAUCAUCAGCUAGUCCUUCAAAAUUAGCAACAUAUGCAGCCCCAGGUGUUGUGAAAUCUUCUGAUGCAUAAGGUGAGAUGGAGUUUGGAGAGUAAUACAUUGGUUGUUGACAGUUCAUAUCAAAAGAUUCUUCAAAUGGACAUGUAGAAAUUUGUGGUUCAAAAGCAGUCAAGUAGGCAGACUUAGUAGCUCUACCUCUACCAAAAGGUUUUGGUGAAGGUACAAAAUCAUCUCCAUAUCUAUGCCAACAAGCAUCAGCAGUAUGCCCUUGCUUGUGAUAAAUUUGACAUACAGGUAGUGUGCCGUCAGAAUUUCCAGUAUGCAUAGAAGGAUUUGCAGGCAUUGAUCUGUGAGUAUGCAUUGGUUGUCCUCUUCCAUAACUACUGAAAUUACUAUUUCCUGAAGGAAAACCUCUAGGAUAAUGUUGAAAGAACAUGCCUCUACCAAAAUUUGGUCUUCUACCACCACCAAAAUUACUAUUAACACCACGAUAUCCACCUCUAUAUGAACCUUUCAUCAUAAUCCAUUUUUUUUGCAGUGAUAAUAGAUGCUAAAUCCAAAUAACUAGAUCCUAAGCCAUCCAGACUCAUUAAUAGAUCCUUUCCAGUUAUGGAGUCACCAGCACAUGCAAGUUUGUCAGCAAGCAUUUUCAUUUUGCCACAGUAUUCUUCAAUAGACAUUGAAUCUUUUCUUAAAAUAUUCAUCUCAUAUCUAAGUUGCAUCACUCUAGCCUCGAAUUGCACUCCAAAUUGCUUUUCAAUAGAGGUCCAAACAGCAAACGAAGUGUCGCAACCUAAAACAGAACUUAAAAUACCUCACUAAUUGUAGAUAACAGCCAUCCAAGAAGGAUCUGAUCUUGAGCACGCCGGUUGAUCUGAUGUUGAAGCUGGAUCAGGAAGAUACUAAUCUGGUACAACUCGAUUUCCAAAAAUAUAAUGUUCAAGUCGAUUGCCUCUUAUGGAUGUGAGAACUUGUUUGCGCCAUAGCAAAUAAUUGGAUCGAUCAUGCUUUACAGGAGUAAUGAAUGUGAAUGAAACAUUUAAAGGUUGAUUUUGACUAAGAAAAUUUGGAUUUGAGUGAGUUGUACUUGAGUUCGCCAUGAUUAUUGCUCUAAUACCAUAAAGGAAAUAUGAAACGAAGUGUUUGGCUUAAAAGAAAAUAACAGAGAAAAUAAUCUUCUAAUUUUCCAGAUCUUUUAUUUCUUAUUAAGAAUGAUUACAUCACUUCUAUUUAUACUAAUUAAUCAAUAACUAACUAAGAAUUAAAUCCAGCUAAUCAUUCGUUCAGUAUACAUUGUGAGUAAAAACAAACUUUAACUAACUGUGCUGAGCUGGCAGUCUGGACUGUUGCGUUUCUUAACAGCUUCUGAUAGUUUGACUUGAGUUGACCCAAGCUAUGUUUUCUCAUGCUCUGCAUAAUGUGCUUCCUUAACAAGUUGAGAUUAUUUUCAGAGGAAAAGUAUGUAAUUUCACUGAAAUAUUUUACUUUAUUUUCCAAUAUUGACUGCUAGAAACUGAGAAGAAUGCUAAAUCGCCGAAAAUUUUACGACUAUAAGCAUUUUUUCUAUUGACUGGCAGAUCUAAAGGGGCCUAAAUGAUAUGAGAUACGUUAAGCUUAAUUUACUCUAAGAGAAUUGCUACGACAUCUUGAUUUGUCAUCAUGAGUUUAUUUUGUGAGAUGUGAAAUACAAAGCUCAGUUAGGAAUUGGGUUAUAUUUGUUGACCAUUUCUCACAUCGGUUGUGUACGGCUGGUUAAUAUGCUGUCAUGGCAAGUUAUUUUAAAAAGUAUUAAGUUUUGCAGCUUUAUCUGUUUAUAUUCAGAUGUAUCUCUAUAUGCUUGAAUGUUGUCUUCCAAUUAAUAUCACUAGUAUUCUUUUUUUUUUUUAAAAAAAUUUGAAUUUAAUCUGUACUGUUUGCCCUAUGCUGAAUUGCUGAUGUCUUCAUAUUUUAAUGACAGGAAGAAGGAAACCACGUACCGAUUAAAUUCAACAUUCUAGUAUAAUCUCUGGAAGCAUUUAAUAAAUGGGUGAGUUUUUUGCAAGGAGGUUCCCUUCUGUAUGUAUUUUGUAGGGCCAUGCAAUUAAGAGGUUUGAUGUGUUGGGAAAAUAUGCUUUUUAAAAGCAUAUGUAUUUAUUUAAUUGUAAUAAAAAAAUUUUCUGAUUAAUAAAAUUAAUGAGGUAUUUUAUUCAAAUAUCUUAAUUGCAUUAAUAUUUUGAUCAAAGUCCAUUUAAUCAUAUUAUAUGUAUUUAUGUGAUCACCAUGUGGAUUCACAAAAGACAUAAAUACAAGUUAUCUUAUGAUUAAAUAAAUUUAGUUCGCAGUUGAUAAAUAAAUUUGGGCACUUUGUUUAGGUAUAUACUGUAAUGAAUUCAUUAAAUGAUUUAUCUUAAUCAUGUAUGAAUUUAUUGAUAUAGUACGACUACAUUGAACAAGAUCACAUAUGAGAUUUAAUUAACUUUGUAAUAACUAUUAGACUUGUUAAAUCUCAUAGGCAUUGAUUUUACUGUAAUCUUAAUAUUGAGUUAAUUAUAAUUUCAUGAUUGUAAUUGAUAUUCCAGUUGAGUUACCAAUGGGCACGACACAUACUUGUGGUCAAGAUUACCCGGUAUCUUGGUGAGAGCAAUUAUGAGUAUUGGAGUUAUGGAUUAACAAUAUAGAAUUUGUACAACACAUCUCUUGAUCGGUUUUUGGCACUUGAUCAUAGAAUUCUCUGGCCAGAGUGUGUCAAACAUAUUUAGUAUGUUGAAAAUGAUCAUUAGAGAAAACCAGUAAGUAUCAAGGAACAAGAUGUAAUUAAAUUGAUUGGACAGUUGAGAUAUCGAUUUAAUUAAUGAUGUGGUACAAAGGAUUGUGCAGUAAAGAAAUCAAUGUGGCUUGGGAUGAAUUAUUAUUCGAGCAUACAAUUAUGGAGGUCAAUUCCAAUAUUUUAGUGGAGUAGAUUUAGAAUUAAAUAAUUAGGCUAGUUUAAUUACAGGCCUAAUUGUUAUAGCCACUAUUGUAUGUUCCCAAAUAAUCCUCGAGUUAGCUCAUUUAAUUGACUGCACCACUACUGGAUUAAUAAGCAAGAUAACUAGUUAUUUGGGUCAAAAGCCUAAAUAUAUCAUUUAGUGGGAGGCUCCAUUUAAUUAGCUUGUGUGUAAGGGGCCUUAUGUUAUUUUACAAGGUGGGUCCAGGCUUAUUUUCUCUAAAAGAAAGAGAGAGCAGCCACUUUUUACAGAUCAGAGAAAAAGAUUUUUCUCUCGAUUGUUGAAAGAAAAAUUUUCUCAUGCUAGUUGCUUUGGUAGUAAUAAAGGCGCCCACACGUCAAGUGCAGAUCAAACCUGAGUUAUAACCUAGAAGAUCAUUGGUGAUAGUUCGUGAUCUAACAAGCGUGGUGGUGACGGAUCGUGAUCUAACAGGCGUGGUGGUGACGGAUCGUGAUCUAGGAGCCUAAAUCACUUCAGCGGAAAAAAUUAAAUCGGAUUUUCAAGGUACGAUUUCUAGAUUACAAAUUCUUAUAUAUUAUAUGAGAGCGAUCUUAAAAAGGUUUUAUAAAAAUUGAAAAAAUUAAUUUUUCUCCAACAUGAUGAUCAUAAUUCACUGAUUGACUGUCCUUCAAAAUUUUCAAACCCGAGUUAUACAUUUCAUUAUCUUAAACUUGAACAUAUGAGAUUGCAUUGGUUUUGCAGCUACUUCCAAGUUUGUUUCUGAGCACCUUUGAUCACAUUUUAUGUAUAAAUUAAUGAUUCUAAACUUGCAGUGGAGCUUUGCCAAGGGAACCAAUGCCUUCUGGUAUUACUGCAAGGCUUCCAACCUUGGAGGACCUUGAGGCCUAUGCCAUUGGACAAUGGGAGGUGUGAACUUUACAUGUUCUGUUCUUUCAUGUUUAAGGAUUUUUCAUGCCAAUCAUGCUGACCUCAAGGAGAUGCGAUGACAUAAUUAAUUACAAUUGGUGUAUCAAUUAAGCUAUUAUCUUAAAUCUUCCAAUUCUAUUAAUCCAGUGUUUCUUGUUGCAACUUAUUAGUUCAGCCCAAGCUGAAAGGCCGACAAAUUUCAACUCUUCCACGAUGAAGGUUUUCCAGCGUGGUCUUUUGAUUCAAAGGUAGUAUUUUCUGUCACAUUUGUAAUCGUCAGUUUCUUGAUGCAAACAGUUGAGAAUCCUGGUUCUUGCAUUUGGUAUCAUGUUAUUUAUGUGCCUUAUUUGCAGGGAUAAAGAAGCCCCAAGGUUAACAGAUAGUGGUUUUCAAUUUUUGGAAUGUGUGUUAAUCACAAGAUUUUGGAUUCCCUCUUGUUUGAGCUAGUGGAACUUAUUUUUCAUAUGUUUAAAUUUGCAGCUGAUGGAUACUAAUGCACAGCUCUAGUACAUCGUUAGAGAAUAUAUCUCCAAUUCCCAGGUGUGGCUUCUGAUAUUAUUUUCAGUUGUUUCUCUGCAUCAAAAUUUCUGCGUGUCCCUGUCUUUGAUUCACUGGUAUAUUCUCUCUUUGUAAAAACUGAACUGAGUGAAGUAUUCAAAGGGCAAAAUAACGAAUUAACUUAUCUUUAAAUCUCAUUAUGUUACCCAAUUGCUCAUUUUAGAACUUUGAUUUUUAUAUUAUGCACAUGUUUAUGCAAUUAAAGAGUUCAUAUUUAGAUGUAUGUAUAUCUUUUUACUUUUAGAAUAUUAAUGCCUUCUUUGAUUUUUAUUCUAUUCCUCAAUAGAUUUGUAUAAUUACUGCUAACAUAAACUAGAACUAAAAGAUUUUCUUCUUUGGUAUUUCAUUGGACUAUUUAAUAGAGAUAAAAGUUCACUAGUGAUCUAAUUAUAUGUGGGAUAGCACGACUCUAUGCUUGCUUAUGGUCUACAAUACCAAUAAUAUAUCAUAUAGCUUUUCUCAUUUUCUUGCAGGAACGAGGCAUAAAUGAAGCAGAUCUGAUUUCUUUUCUUCUGGAGCUUAGUUUCCAUGUCACUGGGGAGGUAGCACAUAUACGUUAUAUAGCUAAACACAUUAUUAUUCAGUUAUUCCAUUUAUUAUUCAAGAAGUAUCAACUUCCAAACCUUAUAGUUGGAGCAAUAACGAAAGAAAGUUUGUAUAAUGCUUUUGAGAAUGGCAUUACAGCUGAGCAUGUGAGUUUGGUAUUUAGUUGAUCUGGUGAUCUGUUUUUCCAUAAAAAAAUGUCCGAUGUGGUCAAUUACCUGCAUAUAUGCAAGUAACUUCUGACAUUCUUAAUAAUUUGCCCCUUUACACCUCUUUUUGGGUCCCAGCCAUCCUCAUCUCAACAUACUUUUACAUCAACCUAGAUUAUUAUUAUUAUUAUUUUUUGGGUGGAGAAGGUUUUUUGCGAGCUUACAUACUGUUUCUGAUAUUCUUGUAGCCGAAAUAGUUUUUUCUUUCAAAGUCGCCUUUUUUUUUUCAAUUACUUUUGCAGUCAUUCUGACUCCUCUAACUCCAUGAUCGUUUGUUUUGCAGAUAAUUAGUUUUCUUCAGAAAAAUGCACAUCCUCGGGUUGCUGACAGAAUACCGUCUGUACCAGAAAAUGUUUGUGAUCAGGUCAUAAUUCUUUCCUGCGUUCAGAUGUAUUGCACAUAUCAUUGCUUCCUGACCUUCCAUAGCAAAAUUCUCGAUAUUUUCUACAUAGUACAUAUCAAUUAAUAAAGAUGAUUAUUUAUAUUCUAAUAUUUCAAAUUCUGAUGUUUCUUUGAUAGAUAAGAUUGUGGGAAUCCGAUUUGAAUAGGGUUGAAAUGACCCCUGCGCAUUAUUAUGACGAGUUUCCCCUGAGGGUCAUCUGCGCAUUUCAAUUGGAUUGAUUUCUCAUCUCACAUCUUUCAGGGAUUACAUUUUAAAGUUACGUCAUAAAUCUUGUAGGAUGUCUUUGAGGCUGCUUGUGAUUAUGCAAGAGAUCGAAGUGGUUUGCUCUGGGAGGAUUCAAAGAAAAUGUGUCUAGUUGUUAAUGCAGAAAUUCAUAUGCACAUGAGAGAGUUCCUUCGGGGUCAAAACAAGUAGAAUGAUAUGUUCUCUUGGCCAUGCAGAACUUACUGAACAAAAAGGAUGACAAGCCAUGUGUCGCUUGGGAUUGUUGCAUGGUAGGGUUGUCAUAAUUUGGGUUUUUCUUGCUCCGUUCGUAUCUGCAUUAAAUUUUGAUGGCAAGUUUUUUGUAAAAACUUGUAUCAAUUUAAUCAAAAUUCAAUUUUGUAAGUCCGCCUUUAUUUAUUUAUUUAUUUAUUUGACUUGCACAGCUUUGUCGAGUGCCCAUUUUGUGGCUUGUGGACAAACUGACAAGUGGAUCUAAUUAUGAACAUUUGCUGUUUGCAUUCGAAAAUGUAGCGCAAUAAUUUUUAGUAAAAGAUAGAAAUGAAUGUAAAAACGUUGCUGUCCUUAUCAUAACUCUUCAUUGUAUUAAAGUAUUAUAAUAUUAUAUUUGUCAAUUGCACCUCAUAGUAUUAUAUUGUGGUCAACACAAAAUCUUAUGUGAUAGAAUCUGCAUAAACUAAAUCUGAGGGGACGCGGGUUUUAUAACUAUUUUGAGACAAAAGAUUAUUUUUUGCCUUUCGUUCUCACCCUCAUUCUUAGAUUGGCUCAAGCAGUUCUUUCCGUCAUAAACUAAAUCUCAUGUGUUAUUUAUAAUUAUGUUAAUUAUUGUUGUUGUUAUUAUUGUUGUUUAUUAAUAAUAAUAAUAAUAUUAUUAUUAUUAUUAUGGCAUUAUUAAAAUAAUAAUAAUAAUUAUUAUUAUUAUUACCAAAUGAUAAUAAUUAUUAUUAUUAUUACCAAAUGAUAAUAAUUAACGAAGGGUAUUUUAAUAAAUUGAAAUAAUUCAUUCAAAUUUAAUGACAAAGUAAACACAAUAAUAGAAAUGAAGUUCAUUUCAAUUCCGAUUCCUACUAUUCAAGUAAAUAAUUUAUUUUGAUUCUUAUUCGUGAUUCUCAUCCCAACCCAAUCCUGAUUCUAGAGAUUAAUAAACGCACCAUAAAUUUUUUGGUGAAUGAAAUGGGGAAUGAAGGUAAGAUUUUUAAUGGGGUGGAGAAGGGGGCAGGUCUCUCUACCCCCACCACACCCCGCCUCACCUCACCGCCAUUCCUAGUGUUAAAUGUCUAAAUUACUCUUAUGAUAUCGUUGAUGCUCAUCAUUAUUAUCCGCACCUUAAAGUUGAAGCUAGGGAUAAUUGGUGCAAGUAAUUUUUUGAAUGGAGCUUGUUCACCUUAAAUUUGAAUGAUUUGGCUUGUUACUUUGUUACAAGUGGCUUUGCUUUUGAUAUAUCUAAAGACUUAUAAGGAAUUGAAGUAGUUGAGUAAUUUCUCAAUUAAGAGUAUGAUGGUUUCUUCAACCGCCAAGUUUCGACUUUCUUUUUCCGUCUUACUCUUCAAGAAUAAGCAGUCACCUGUUUCCUUGUUCAUUUCCAAUUAUACAUUUUUUAUUAAAAAUUAACUUUGGAAUUUUCAGGUUGAUUUGGUUUCUCAUAUCGCGGACAAAGAGUACGUUUACUUUUUUUUUUUAAUUGUUCGCUUUUGAUUGCGUUGUCAAGACUUAUUAUUAUAAUUACCAAGUAUUGGAAGCUAAAAUGCGUGCAAGUCGGAAAUUUUGCUGCCGAAAAUCAGUGUAAAUUAAAAGACUUUGAUGAGCAACUAGUGAGUGCACGUGAGUAAACCUUGUAAAUUGACUGGUGCUAAUCAUGACUUAAGGGCAAUUGUAAUUUGUAACCCCAAAUGCAGCAUGUUAUGUGGACGAAUUGAGGAAAGAAGCAUGAAAUAUUGGGUAAUGUUUUUAAUUCUUACUUGGUAUAUACUACUGAUUAAUCAAACAGUCAUCAAAGUAUAAGUACCUUAAAGAAUAAACAACAUAGAAGUAGCAUUUUGCCUUUCCCUUAUGAGUGGAAUGGAUAGGUCAAAACCCUAGUGAGAUUUUCCAUCCUGAUGACCAAUGAUUUCCAAUGCUUUUGUUUGUGGGGAUUUUUAUUUUCUUGGCUCAAUUGCUUAUUGCGUUAAUUUUUCCAAUUAAAUCAAUUUUAAAGAUAAAAGUUUAUUUGGGUAGUUACUUUUAAACCCCACCGAAAAAACUUGAACUCCAUGGUUGUCCUUUAUGAGAUGGUAGCUAGCAGGGAGAGUUUAGAAAACAGAAGAAAUUCCAUAGAUAUGAUGAAGCUCAUAGGUUCACACCACGAGGUUUUAACAUUCCAGAAUGUAGCCAGCGACAGAUGGCUCAAAUUCUUAUGCUUGAUUUCCAAUUUGACUGUCUUGAUACCAGGCUGAGAAUCGGUACCAUGCAGACACUGAUCAUGAGACCUUCAAGUUACUUCAGGUUACUCAUCUUUUUCUUUCAUGGUCUGUCUCCUUUUGUGUCUUUUUACUGGGAAAGUUACUUAAUACCGCUUUAUUGAUUUUCUUCUCAAAUUGAUAUAAUGAACGAGAGCAUGAUUAUAAAGGCAAUCAAGAAUACAUGUUUUUAAGGUACUUCAUUCCUUCGUUCCAUAUUAUAUUCUAUAUAUUAGCCAGGUCAUUCAAGACGUUUUAAAUAAAACAGAGUAUGAAAAAGUAGGAGAGGGAGCCCGACUUUAGGCUUCUAUAUGUAUAUUCUCCUUGCACUUCCAGGUGUUGACAAAGACUAUAAUUUUAUUGUUUUGCUUAUCUAAAACAGGAAGUCUAUAGUUUUAAGUCUCUUGGGAUUUGAUGCAUUCUUGUACUUUCUUCUCUUUCAAACUUGGUGCAUUAUGCUCGGUUUGUCAGUGACAGAUGACUUAUACAUCUUAUACCUUUUUGUAUUUCCUUUCAGCUUACAAAGGUGAAAGCCUAUUUACGUUUGCAAGAGACGUGACUCUCAAAUCAGCAAAAGCUAUGAUGCAACCUCCAAUUCCAAAAGACCUAGAUCCAUGGGGAUUAAGGCUUUUAAGGGCAUCGUGGACAAAGAGUACGUGUACUUAUAUUAUAAUUUUUUUCUUCUAAAUUUUCAUUUUUUACUGUUGUGACGAAAAAGGUCACGGCUGCUUGAACUGUCUGUUAGAAGCUUGUUGGAAGAAGCCUAGGCAGUGACCUUCAAUUGGCAAUGUUCCUCUUGUUACUUUUCAAAUUGUCGUGUCUUUACAAGAAUUUGAAAUACAAGUAUGCAACCCAAGAGGGGGGGUGAAUUGGGAUUCUAAAAAUUAUUCAAUUUAUAAAGAAAAACUUAAUGCAAAUAUAAUCCAAAUUCAAAGCAAUAACAAUUAAGUUGAUCACAAUAUAAAAAGAUAAGGGAAUAGGGAUUCAAACACAGAGAUUUUUACGUGGUUCGGCCAACCUCGCCUACGUCCACGCCUCCAAGCUUUCCGGGCUUGAGGAUUCCACUAAGCAAGCCUCCAAUGCUUCAAAUGCUUACACUUGACUUCCAAGGUGUUAAUAAACCUUUACAACAAGAGAUUAUCUCCAAUCUCUUAACCCAAGUGUAUCCCAACACUUACAAUCACUCAAAGUAAAAGAUUACAAAUUGUUUUGCCUCUCACAAUAUAUAAGAUUACACAAUGAUACCCAAUAUAUGGAUAGAUGAAGCAAGAAUGUAUUUUAAUAGCUCAAUGAAGAUUGUACUCUCAAGUAUAUGCUCAGCAGUCGUGUUGUGAUAAACUUUUGUUUAAAUUUGAAUGAGCUUAUUUAUAGCUGCUGCUGAAAACUAGCCGUUAUUGACUUUCUGCACACUGUCGGAUCGUCGUUAGCUAGAUGUCGAAUCACCGUUUGACUGGUCAAUAUGACCGUUGGGCUGAUUUUUCAAAUUGUCGGAUCGCCGUUAGCUAGAUGUCGGAUCGCCGUUUAGGUCCAGAGGCUACUGGUUGAUAUCGGCGAGCCGUUUAUCACACAUGUCGGUGUGCCGUUUACGUCCAGAGGCUAAUCUCCAUUUCUACUUGAAAUCGGCGAGCCGUUUAUUACACAUGUCGGAUCGCCGCUUUCCACAAAAACUGUUGUAGUGAACUAUUUUGCAAGAUGACUGUUUUGACUCCAAAUCUUUAUAAACAAUACUUUAUGAAACUUGUCAAAAAUAGAUGAAAAAAUAUGUUGAGUCCUCAAAAGAUUUAUCAAACUUAAUCAUGUUUGUUAUCAUCAAAAUCAAUAAGGAAUUAUUUAGGUUAACAGAAUUCAUAGUCUCUAUUUAUAGUUCCGGCCAUUUGAAUUCAGUUAGUGCAGAUGCUUUGUUCUGUUAUUCUCUUCUGCUCUACUGUUCUCUUCUGGUUUUUGAUUCCAUUUUGAUCUUCUGAAGUUACGAUUUUAGUUUGAAUUGACUUUUAGAACUAAUUAAUAAUAAUUCACCAAAUUGUUUUGUUGCUAAUAGAGGAACACCAUUACAGGGGUACUGUCUGGUUGUUCCUAUGACCGCCCGCCGAGCUGCUUAAGGAUUUUCCCUAAUAUUACUCCCCGAAAGUUUUUACACUUUUGAUGAAAAUAGUCAAAAGUUUUAAACUAAAUUGGCUGAGCUAAAGUUGCAUUUAGUCUUUCUUAUCACCAUUUAUAAAAAAAAAUUGUUUUGAGAUUUUAAAUAUAUAUACGAGAUACAUGGAAUUAUCAGAUAUUUAAAAAUUUCUGUUUGGAACUCAUGACUUCACUUAAGGAAUUUUUAUGAUUCGAAGAAUUUGAGAAUUUUCAUUGAAUGAAUUUUAUGAUUUUUAUGCAUAAGAACUCAAGAUUUUAAUUGACAAAAUUAGGACUUUUGAUUUUUCUUGAAGGGUAUUGGACUAACGAUCUUGCCUAGAGGACUUUUUCUUUGCCUAUGGAGCUUUGGUCUUUGAAUGCAUCAAAAUCCCCAGAGAACUAUUACCCCGUUAACGAUCUUGCAUUCAUGUAUUUAUACCUAAUAUAAAAUAAGUAAAUGGGAAUGGAGUGGUGAUGGGGAAACUAUUCCCCACAUGGGGAUUCUCCAUCCCCACCCCACUAAAUUUAUUGGGGAAUGGGGUGGGGAAUGGAGGCAAAAAAUUUUAAUGGGGUGGGGAAUGGGAUAGGCCUCCUUACCCCUACCCCACCCCAUUGCCAUCCCUAAUUCUAAAUCGGGAGGUUGCCAAUUUUUCACUAAUGAAAUCAAUGUAUACCACUUGCACCUAUUGUAACACCCUAGGAAAAUGCCACAUUGACAAAGCACGAGAGACAUACUGGACUUAUAAGGGGUGAUCCACACCUUAAUUGGCAAGACGCGUUUUGUGGUGUAUGGGCGCCAUAGGAACAAAACCAUACGGGCCUUAUUAAGACCCAAAGCGGAUAAUAUCUUGUCAGAUCUAGGUUGGGUCAUGAUAUUAUGGUAUUAGAGCGGUUCCACGUGUCCUCUUGAGCAAUGGUGGGGCAAGCCUCAGCGAGGAUGCUGAGUCCUCAAGGGGGGUGAAUGUAAUACCCUAGGCAAAUCGCACAUCGGCAAAGCACGAGAGAGAUGCUGGAUUUAUAAGGGGUGAUCUACACCUUAACUGGCAAGACACGUUUUGGGGUGUAUGAGCGCCCUAGGAACAAAACCGUGCGAGCCUUGUUAAGGCCCAAAGUGGACAAUAUCUUACCAAGUCUGGGUUGGGUCAUGACACCUAUUAUUUUCAUAAUAGUCAAUAAUCCCCUGCAACAUAAUUUUAUAACAUUACCCUUAUUUUUACAAUAUCUCUUUUAGAAUUUUCCAUACUGACAUCUCGUGCUCCACAUUGAUUAGUUGUGAAUAAGGCUUGAGGAAUAACAUACCCUCAAGAGACUAUGCCUGAAUAUUAGUAUUAACAUUCUUGUACAAAUAACAGUAGUUGUAUUAGAACAAAAAGUUAAUCAUAUCCCUCAUGUCAUUGACUAUGCUAGUAUGACAUUGAAUUAUGCACAAUUGAAUUACUCAACUACUAAAAAAGAAAUAGUAAUAGUAAUGUUUGCAUUAGAAAAGUUUCUUAUAGGAUAUAAAAUAAUUGUGCUCAUAGAUUAUACUACUCUUAAAUAUCUUUUGAUAAAGAAAGAUGUAAAGGUCAGACUAAUUCGUUGGGUGUUAUUUUUGUAGGAAUUUGACCUUGAGUUCAAAGAUAAGAAAGGCAUAAAAGAUGUGGUGGCAAAUCAUCUUUCUCACCUCAAUUUUGACACAAUUCGAGAACGAUUAUGAUUCAAUGAAUCAUUUCUAGAUGAGCAACUAAUGAGUGUGGAGGUACUAUCAAUGGCAUGCUGAUAUAGUUAAUUAUAUUGUGACAGGGCAACUUUCAGAGAAUUAGACUAAGCAAGAUAAGGCUAAUUUUUUUUUGUGGAAACAAAGAAUUUCUUUUCUGAUGAUCUUUAUCCAUUCAAAUAUUACGUGGAUCAUAUUAUCAGAUGAUGCAUCCCAGAGAGAAAAUUUCAAAACAUCCUUUCAUUAUAUUAGGAACAAGCUUGUAGAGACAAUUUUAGUGCUAGAAAGACGGUUGCUAAAGUUUUACAACAUGGUUUUUAUGUCCAACUUUAUUUUGAGAUGCUUAGACUUCAAUUCUUCAUGUCAUUGGUGCCAAAGCAUAAGAAGUAUUUCACGAAGGAGCAUGAUGCCACUAAACCUUACUAUGGCAGUUGAAUUUUUUAAUAUGUGGGGCAUCGAUUUUAUGGGACCAUUUCCUCUUUCUUUUGGCCACCAAUACAUAUUAGUUUAUGCCAACUAUGUAUCAAAGUAGGUGGAAGCAAUUCUGUGCAGAACCAAUGAUCACAAAGUAGUGAUUGGAUUUUUGAAGAGCAAUAUUGUUUCGUACUUUAGACUCCCUCGACCAAUAAUCAAUGAUUGUGAUACCCACUUUUACAAGAAAACAUUCAUAACUCUUUGGGCAAAGUAUUUCAUCACACACAAAGUGGUUAUCCCAUAUAAUUCACAAAUUAGUGGCUAAGUCAAGAUCUCCAAUCGAUGAAUAAAGUAUAUAUUAGAACAGACGGUGAAGCUAGACAUAAAAGAAUGGUCAUUGAAACUCGAUGAUUCACUAUAGGCUUAUUGAAUGGCUUUUAAAACCCCUAUUAGGAUGCCACCUUAUAGGCUAGUGUAUAAGAAAGUUUGUCACCUACCUAUGGAAAUCGAGCAUCGUGCAUACUGGGCUAUCAAGAAAUUUAACUUUGACAUACAACAAGUUAGUUUGGAAAGAAGAUUAUAGCUAGUAUUAAAGAGAUUCGCAAUAAUGUAUAUGAAAAUGACAAACAUUACAAGUAGCAGAUGAAAGUCUUUCAUGACAAGAAUAUUAUGAGAAAAUCUUUUAUACCAGGUUAGAAAGUGAUGCUAUUCAAUUCUCGCUUACAUCUAUUCCCAAGUAAAUAACACUCUUGAUGGUAUGAUCCAUUCAUUAUUCGCACUAUUUUUUCAUGUGGGCCAUUGAAAUUAAGGAUCUAAAGAAUAAUGUCACUUUUAAAGUUAACGGUAAAAAAUUAAAGUCCUAUAUAGAGUACCAACCACAUGAAGAUGACACCAGAGGAAAUUUGAAAGACCCAUCACAUCUUGAUUAGGUUUUUUUUUUGGGAUGAUUUAACUUUUUGUUAUUUUGUUUUAUUGAUUAAAAUUAUUUUGAUUGUUUCCUACUUUAGUGCAUUUGUUUAAAAAUUAUGCUUUCUUUUAUCAAUUGUAUUUUAGGUCAUGAGUAUCUCAAUGAGACAAAUCUUAUUCAUUAACCUUAACAAACUUCUAUAUAUGAAGCUUGACGUAAGUGGUCUACUCAAAAUUUGUAAAUCACAUCCUGUUUAGGAUCUAUGACCACUAGUGUUAGUAUCCUAUUUCGAAAGACAAUUCAUAGAAAUAGAAGGUAGUAUAUGUGAUAUCCAAUUAGAACUUACGAUAAACUCAAUAAGGAGAUGGUGGUGAGUUAACGCCCUAGUAUUUAUAUUGUUUGUUUUUGUUUUGUUGUUUGCCUUCACAUGCAUUUUGUUUUUGCUAGAUUAAUUAUUUUGUUUGGUAUGUUGUUAUUUCUUACCCUAGUUAAAUGGCAGAUAAUGGUACUUUGUAACCAUUAAAGUCAGUUCUAAUAAUUUUCCAUAAUAACUGACAUUUCCAAGCCAAGGUAUAAAUAAGAAUAUAAUUCUUGCAAAACUUCAUAAGUGAUUUCCCUCUCUCUCUUAGAAUGCAAUCCUCACGAUCUUUAAAACUUGAUCCAAACUCUUACAAUUACUUAUGAGAAAUACCGUUCUUGUUCACAUACUUUGGUUAAUUGAAACCAAAGUAUGAUUAAGAAGGGAGUUACCUCUCAAAUUUGUUGCUUACAUGUCUGGCUACAGGAAAGGAAAUUAUUCAAGAAAAUGAAGAGCUAGACGGCUCCAAGUUUCUUAUCAUAAGUGUGCUCGAACAAACUAUAAUGAAAGUUCUAGUAUAUGUUUAAGAAUGAUGACCUAUAUUAGGGAAGAAAAGAUUCAAUUUAUUAGGAAUGACUUGAAUAAAAAGUCAUUAGAUGGCAUCCUUUCGACCCAUAAAACGCAUCCCAGUGAAUACGUACAAUGUGAAAUUUCCUAGUUAUGGCCAUUAUUCCAAAAGAAAUAUGCACCAUAAUGUCUUCAGCAUUUUAUAUACACUACCAUAUUUACUAGUUUAUCAGAAAACUGGAUGAGAGCCUUUCUCGAUGUAAAAUAAAAGAAAGAUAUGAGCCAUAGUCACAACUAAUAGUAUAUAUCAAUUUGUUUUACUAUUCUUUUAUCAUUUAAAUUAUUGUUUACUAGUGUGAUUUAUCUCCAUUUACUUUUUUUUUUGCUAUUUACUUUUGACUCUUGAACUAGGAACUAUGACAUAAAAAAAGUGACAUAGAAAAUGAAAUAAUAAUAAAACAAAAUAACUAGUAAAAGCUAAAUUGUAUUGAAAUAUGAUUUUUUUUAUAUAUUUGUAAUUGUAAGUUGGUGUGACCUUAAUCCAUUUUUCUACUUGUUUAUUUAUUUUGUAAUGUCAUCAAAGGAUUUGGAUUCAUGGACAUUAAAAUUUGCUAAGAGCACCUUUCAUUUUAUAAAAUAUUUUAUUACAUAAGUGUCCUUAAAUCAAAUCACAUGUAGAAAAAUUACUCCCACCUCUUAAAUAUUAAAAUAGAAAAUAAAAAUGUAUUAAAAGACAGAUUAAAAAUAUAAAAAAGAGUAAAAUAUGCAUGUUAAAGUAUUGUUUAUAUUUUAAAUAACCCUAAUUGGAGAUAGACAUAAAAUAAAAAGGAUUUAGAUUUGGUGUUUAGCUAAAUUUUUAUUAGCUUUUGUAAAAUACUGUGACAUGUGCUUUUUAUGAAUUUUAAUGGUUAAGAUUUAGUUUCUCUUAAUAGCCUAAUGAAAAUAAUAUCGUUUUCUUGGUUUUAUUCCCCUUUUUCUUUCAAUUUUGUGGUUUUUUUAUUUCAUGAACGUAUGGAAACUAUGAAAUCAUUUUUUAAUCAUCCUAGAUAUUAAGAAAUUCCAAAUAAAUUCUAUCUUAAAGACUUUUCAAGCUUUUGCAACCGCUCAUACUGAGAAUAGCAAACUUUUUUAGAGGUGAAAUCAGCGAGGGCUUGGAGUUUGAGUAAGAACAUUGCCAGCUCCAACCAAAAUGAGAAAGGCCAAGAGAAGCAAAUCAUUAAUUAGCAUGUAUAGAGACUGAAAUAGAACAAAAACUAUCAAAAACCUUGGCUAAGCAUUGGACUCAAAUCCUAUAUAGGACAAAUGGUCCUAAUAAAGUAAUUAUAAUCGUUUGAUUAUUAUUAAUAUUUAACUGAAUGCUCUCUCAUAAAUUGAUUCAAAGAUAUACAAUAAAUUAGUACUACAAUAUAACACACACAACAUAUCAUAUGCUUAUAAUAAAUUAAUUCUUUAUUAUAUUAAAAUAUAGGAUCAAUUUCUCAACAAUUGAUGGUUAUAACAAAAUUAUUCAUAUGGCAAAAGACAAAUAACUAUUUAAAAAAAUCAUUGGCAUCCAAUAACAAGCUCUAGGGGUAUAAGGCGUAAUCAUUCUCAAGGGAAUUAGGAUAGAUUCUUUAAUUGUAAGUUCCAACCAGCCGCCAUUAUUUGGUGAUGUUGCAAAAUUGGUACACAAUGAAACAUAUAGUUUACAUUCUUGAUCAGUACAUUGAUGCUUGAAAUAAGUAUGUAUUAAGUGAAGUUGUUGAUUCUAUUUAUGAGUAUUGAAUAAGUUAGGAUGAUGAAACCAAGACUUUUUUACAUUUAAUAUUUUCUAAACUGAAACAUAAACAACCUAUUGAGAAUUAAAAGAGAGGUAAAGAAUAACAAACACAUGAGGCUCUGCAUAUAUAAAUGAAUAUUGAGAAAUGAGGUAUAAUGAAUUUUAUGAGGUUGUUGAUUCUAUUUAUGAGUAUUGAAUAAGUCGUAGUGCAUUUAUUUGCAUUAACUAUUGACUUUAAUAUCUUGUUGUGUUCUCAUUCGUGGUAAUUGAAACAUACAUCUAAUCAAUUUUAUCAUUUUUUUUAGUAUUACUUUUUGUUGAAUUUAUCACUUGGUUUUUUUUUCUUUAUUUAAUGCUUGUUAUAAAUAUUGGUAUUUUGUGAAAUACUAUUCAAAUUUAAACGAACUCGUUAAUCUCUAGACAUAGCGUGCAAGCGAAAAAUAUAACAUCAAAAAUAGUGACACAUAAAAUGAAAUGAAAAUAAUAAAAUAGUUAAAGAGCAUGGUACUCAAACGUAACCAAAAGAAAAUCGUAGAUUAACCAAAUUUUAAAAAAAUCUUGUGAAUAGAAAAUCCGAUCCUCUUCUUCUCUCCAUUUCUGCUAAAGAAUAUAUAUAUAUAUAUAUAGAAGGAAGAGAAAGCAAGAAGGCGAAAAUUAACAGUGUCAAUACUUCCAUUUGCAUCAAAUUCAAGCAUUAAAUCGUGCUCCACCACAUUGUCUCCUUACAGACUUAGGCUUAUUUCCCUUCAGUAUCAGCUCAAAUAUUGAUGAUUCCAUGAAUGAGCAUUAAAGAUGCUUUUAUUUUUAUUAAUUAUUAACUUGCACAAUUAAUUAAUUUUGUCAUUUUUAGUGUUAUUAUCUUUAUUUAAUUUAUAUGUCAGAUUUUUUCUCUUUAUUUAAUCUAUUGAAAUUAUUAUCAUUAUUGUGAAAGCAUUAUUCCAAAUUUUUGGAUUUAAAUUAAACUCUAUGCAUAGCGGGCAAAAAGUGACAUCACAAAAAAGUGACAUAGAAAAUAAAAUAAAAAUAGUAAUAAAAUAAAAUAACUAAUAAAAGCCACAAUACUGGAAUAGAGUCAAUAGAAAACCGCAAAUUACAUAUAUAGACAAAUGACACCUCCUCUAAAAUAUUAGAGUAGAAGUAUUGACAGAAGUUUAGAAAUUAGGAAGGGUAAAAUAUUGGUGUUAAAAGUGUUUUUAAAGUACAAAUAAUUACACCCUAGUAGCAGAUAGAUAUAGUAUACAAGGGUGGGAAUGCUUGCACAUUUAAAUUAUCUUGUACAUUCCAUUAUUUUGCACACUCAUUUAUUAAUUUUAAAAUUAAUUAUACAUUGUACACUUUUUAAAAUGUCAAAAAAUUUCUCGGUUUUUAGAUUAAUUACCUUUAUUUACUCUCACACUCAUGAGAAAACACACUAAAAUAAUUUCUCCAAAUAUUCUUUUUAUUAAAAUUUAAUUAUUUGGUUAGAUAAUCAAUUUUGCCAAUAAACAAAUAAUGAUCGACAACAAAACUGGAUGAGCCAACAACUCGCAUCAAAAGAUUUCACCAUUCAAAAGAUCACAAGAAAUAAACAUUAUAAAUCAAACAAAUAAAUCAAUUAAGCAAAAAUGGUUAUCACUUACAUCACAUUGCUUUUAGCAGGCUCUUGCUUGCUAGUUGGAAAGACAAAAAAAUGGCAUGAAAGUAGCAUCCGAAAGAUUAUAAUUAAACAAUUGUACUUUCUGUGUUGCAAGGCUAUGAAAAAUUAAUACUUUUUGUGUUGUAAACUAGAGAUCAAAUGGAUCACACAUACCUCAUUGAAAUUAAAAUCUUCAAACAUGUUGAGCUACUCCUCUGUAAAUAUUUGUUCAAGGGGUUGGGAAGAAAAAUUUUAGGGGUCAAAUGGUAAGAAAAGUUAACAGAUAUAGAUAAAUUACAUACAACAAAUCAAUACCAUGUAACAAACACAAUAUAUCACAUGCUCAUAAUGGAUUAAUUCCUUCUUUUAUUAAAAUAUAGCAUCAAUUUCUUUACAAUUGAUGGUUAUUGCAAAAGUAUUCAUUUGGCAUAAGAGGAAAACUAUUUAACAAAAUCAUGGGUUAUAGAUGAUGGUGUAGUCUUGACUAUCAUGGUGAUACUUAUUGUAACAUUCUUCUGGUGUAAGUCCAAUGAACUUGUCGCUAUCAGGUGAUAUCGCAGAAUUAGAUUCUUGGUCGGUACUAGUGCUUGAAACAUGUGAGUUUUCAGUGCUUGCAACCAAAAGCAAAGCCAAGAUAAUGAAACUGAGACUCUUCGACAUGUUAUAAUUUCUAAACUUAAUUGUAAACAACUUAAUUAAAAUUAAAAGGAGGUGAUGCAUAAGAAAUACAUGAGGCCCUAUAUAUAUGAAUGAAUAUUGAGAAAUGCGUUAUAGUGGCCUUUAUGAUGCUUCCAUGAAUAAGCAUUAUAUAAAUCAUAUUAUGUUUACUUUUAUUAACUACUGACUUUAAUAUCUUGUUGCGUUAUCAUCAAUGGUAACCAAAACAAACAACUAAUUAAUUUUAUCAUUUUAGUAUUAUUUUAUUCUUUUUUGUUGUUUUUUUUUUUCUCUUUAUUUAACCAUAUUCAAAUUAUUAUUAUUGCUAUUGUGAAAUUAUAAAUCUGAAAGUCAGUUUUUGCAUUAUUUUAUUUACAAUAACUUUUUAGCUAUGUCUAUAUUAGUAUAUAUCUUAUAUUCAAUUUUUAGAUUAAUGUAUUUUAGUAUUAAUAAAUUCAAUCACGAUAAUCUGAUAACCGCUUAAUAUUAAAAUUUAGUUUCCAAUAUUUAUGUUAUUUUAUUAAUUAUAAAAAUACUUUUUAGUAGAUAUAUGUAAAUUUUUUUAACUAUACUUAUUGUAAUAUUUUACUUUUAAUAUGAUAUUUAUAUAUUAUUUUUAUGUAAUGUAUGUAUGUAUCUAUGUCAGUUUACAGUAAGUAUAUACUUAGAUAAUGAUCAAAGAAUAUAAUAGUAAAAAGGGGUUCUAUGUGAGUGAUCGAUCUAGAAAAGUAAUUUACUGGGGGCUAGAAUACAUAAGAACAAGAUGUAAAAACUAAAAUUUUAGGGGUUUUCAGGUUUAUGUUGGUUCAUUUUUUUCUAAUAGAUUUAAUAAAGGGAUUAAUUAAAUAAUAGUAAGACCACCCAUAUGAGUUAUUGUGGGCUUUUAAUUAAAGAGUGGAUUUUUAUAAUUCUUAUAUUUAAAACUUAAUUUUUAUGAAUUUAUGAGUUUAUCGGAGGCUGUUUUUAUAAAUCCAACAAGGAAUAUUUUUAUAGAUUUGAAGGGGUCUAAUUAGAAACUCAAGUAAUUUUCUCUUUAAUUUUUAGAAUUUAUUUUCUAGAGCGAAACUCAAACCCCACUGGUCAUGUGCUAGAUCUUUAGAACGAUCUAAUCUAUACAAACCAAAUAUCUUCCUCUCUUUAUGUAGUUAAAAUUUAAUUUUUAAGGGUUUUUUGUGUUUAUGGGGACUAUUUUUAUAAAUCCAACAAGGAGUAUUUUUGCAGAUCUAAUGGGUUCUAAUUAGAAAUUUACCUAAUUUUCUCUUUAAUUUUUGGAAUUUACUUUCUUGAGUGGAGCUCAAACCCACUGAUCUGUGCUAGGUCUUAAGGACGAACUAAUCUAUACAAAUCAAAUAUCACUCCUCCUCACUCGUUCCUCAUAUCUUUUUUGCGAUUUUGUCUAUUAUUGGCCAUAUUGAACCAUUCAGUCAUAUUCAUUGAGACUUUGAAAAUGGUUGUUUAUCAAAUGGGAUAAAUGAAAAAUCAACUUGGCAGAAUUAAUUUUUUGUUUUACAUAUAAGCAUGUUAUAGAGAAGACUUGACUAGAGAAUUGAGUAAUAAAAGGGCUUUUCCUUGAACUAGUAGAGUUGGCCAAAGCAAAUCAAAGGCCCAAAAACAAACUGAGCUGCCGAUUAAGUUUUGAAUGAUUAAUAGUUGCUUUCAUUAUACAAAAUACACCUACAACCACUUAAUUUAAAAGGCCAACAAAGUGGUGUUGUUGGAGGUUUUUAUUGUCUGUAAGGAGUUCUGUAAGAAUAUGAGAGAAUUAACAUGUUAUUUUGAAAAAAAUAAUUAAUGUUGAUCACGAGUGAGAGCUCCCAUAUUCUGGAAACUCUCAAACGAGAAAGAGCUUUUGAUAUCCCAAUAUAAUAAUAAGUGACUGGCUAAUUGUCGUGAGGAAAAGAAAAACAAAGAGAUGAAUCAUGAAUUUGAGUUUAAUUUUGGAAUUUUGAUAAAUUGAUUAAGUAAACACUUAAUUUUCUAGUUUAGUAAAUAAUGUUUUUAAAAAAAAUGAAUAUUCGAAGUACAUUGCAGAGUGCAAAUAACCUCACUCAUUCCUAAAUUACCCACAUGUUAAUUUACCAUUAAAAACAAUUUUAUGAUAAUUUCUACUCUAGACACCUACUGACUACACUCAUUAAUAAUUUAUAAAUAAACUAAUAUUAUUUUCAUCUUAACAAUUUACAUCCCAGAUUUCUUUUGUCGAUCACAUGCGUAGAGAUCUCAUGGUUUCUAUUUUUUCUGAUCCAAUCUGUAAUAUUUUUCAUGCAAUGAAAAUCUUGGAUAUUCUUCUGCUAACUAGCUUUUAGUUAUGGCUUAAGUGAAAUAUUGAAGAUAAAAGGUCUAGGGUUUUAAAAUUAUUUUGGUGGUUGUAGUGAGAAAAUAAAAACUACGCUAUGGUAAUUGAUAAGCAACAAAAGCAUCAGACAAAUCAACAAGAACCAAGGUCACCAGUUGUGACAAAUAUGGCAGUAUUGUUUCCUUAGCUAAAGGGUUUACUGAGGACAGAUUAAGGAAAGAACGACGCUGGUAUACACUUCUAACGGACACAAGAGAAAUCAGUGUACAUGAUUGAAGGAGUCCAACGGCCACAAGCCAAUUUUGAUAUAAAGCGCUCAACGUCAUGAUUCUCGGAAGUUAGUGUAAUUGAUACAAUUGUGAGAACCUUUCAUUUGUGCAAGCUUGAUUUUGAUAAUCUGUGUAUAUAAUGUAAUGAUCGAGCAAAUACAAAAACAAGAAAACAAAUUGUUUUCAAUCAAUCCUGUAUUUCUUUAUGGUAUCAGAGCCUAUGGCUACAAAAAUACAAACUAAGCCCAAACUCUCGAUCCAAUCAUUCCACCAAUGUGCAAGCCUAAUUUCCAUCAAACUCAACAACAAUAAUACCAUCUUUGAAGUCGCAAGUCCUGCCACUGCCACUCAUAAGAAGCCUUGAUCUAGAGCAUCACAUCAAUGAUGCAACAGUUCCACCAAGAAAUAUUUCUAGAUGGAAAAAAGGUCAACACUCCUGAAUUUAAUGCAUGUGGUAGCUUGUAGAUAGUUCCAUGUAAUUAUUGAGAUAGGUAGAUAGUUUUAAAGCAUCAUCCAUACAUUUCCUUGUACCCUAUAAAUAGGAGGGGCCUCAUUUGGCUCAACACACACAAGAAAUCCAGCACUGACAUUACUUAAAAGCACUGUAGGCUUUCCUUGAGUAAUAGAGUUCUUUCCUCCCAUCUUGAGCAAGUUUGAGUGAAUACUCUUUCCCACUUUCGAAUCCAGUAACGUUGUGAGUGAGCAAGGUUCACUUAGGACCAAGAGAGUGAGAUUUAGCACCUAAGGCCCUGCGAUUCAGUGAGGGAUCAAGAGGGUCGUGAUAGUUGGUAUCAAAGCCGUAAUCACUCUUGGGGUAAUUGCGUCAUUUAAAAGGAAGAAUGUCGGACCUCACUUAUGAUGACCAAAGGGGUAGGGACCAAAAUCCCAACUUGAAAAAGAGAAAGAACAACAAGGAGAAGUCCGUGGAUAGGCUGAACGCCAUUGAGAAUUGGGUUGUUCGUAGGGAGAUUGUUGUCUUUGAGAUAAAGGAGCGCCUCGAGAUCUUCAAGCAAAAGAUGAAAGAGGUUGAUAAUCUUGAGGGACAAAUGGUUGACUUACUUAAGCCAAGACAUGAUGGUGCAACACUAAAGUCUCAAGAAGUUCCAAGCUGUAGUGAUGAACUAAAUCGAGGGGCUAAGAACUCAAGUGGAGGAGCUUUACACGGGUCAUAAGGAGACCAAGAGCAAUAGGGCACUUUGAAAGAAGGCGGUGGCCAGCGAAGUGUUCACCACUAAUGCCGUACCUUUAAUAAAGAUUGAGGUUCUUGAGACCAAAGAGGUACAAGGGCAAACGAAAUGCCCAAGAGAUUGACAAUUUUCUGUGGUCCAUGGAGAGGUACUUCGAAACCACCAAUGUUCAAGGCGAGCAAGAAGAGGUAAAUAUGACGAUGGGGUAUCUUGAAGAUCACGCAACUACUUGGUGGCAAUAGAAGCAUGCAAAGAUUAUACGCAGGAUGUGUAUUAUCAACACAUGGGGCUUGUUCAAGCGCGAGCCAAAGAAGCAAUUUUAUCCAGGGAGUGUAGCGUAAGAGGCUAACAAAAAGAUGAGAGAACUGAAGCAUACAGGGUCCAUCUCGAGAACAUGAACCCAAAUGACCUGUUGUUCAUCUUUAUGGAAGGACUCUAACCAUGGGCACAACGGGAGCUUCAAUGGUACCAAGUGAAUGACACCUCCACUGCCCUCACUGAGGUAGAUAUACUUGUAGAAUUUCGAAAUGAUGAAUCAUCUAAGCCAAAGAAGGAUGAUAAGCCCCAACAUAGGAAAUGUGGAGGUGCAAAUUAAAAGGAGAUAAGCUACCACAUUAUGAUGGCUAAGAAAAACUGUCACAAAAGAAGGAUGGUUUGAAGGACGGUAAGGAGAAAGUCAAGCGUAAGCAUAACUACUACCUUUGUAAUGUGGACUAUUGGGUGACAAACUGCCUGAAGAAGAAAGCUUUCAACGCCAUGUUCAACGAGCUCGAAGAGAAACAACUAAAGGUGCCACCAGCUACAGCCGCCAACAUAAGUUGCCUCUGAAAUUUUAAGAGCUUAUUGGUCCUAAAAAAAUUAUAUUUAGAUAUUUCUAUCAAAUGACAAAAAUUUGGUAUGUAGACAGUGUGCCUUGAGAUAUAUAAUUUUUAAAUGAAAAUUGCUAAAGGGACUAAAGGCUGAUAAAAUGUUAAUAAAUAAUGCCUUGUAGUGUUAUAGUGUACGUUAAUUGACGAUGUUAUAUAGUUCAUUUUAUUAGUGCUUUGUCACUUUUUUAAUCCAAAUAUCUAAAUGAAAAAUGCUGAAAUGAUUUCCUACAAAGUACUACAAAGAUGACAAUGAGAUAAGAAAUGGAAACAACAUUUAUUUAUAAAAAUAAAAAAUUUGCAAACAAAAGGAUCUCACUAUGUAACCAUAUAUAUCAUUUUAUUGAAUUAUUAUUAGCCGGAGCAUCAUCAUGUUUUUUCUUUUAUUCAAGGCUUAGUUAUAUAUAAUUAAUUAAGCAAUGGGAUCAACAAUUAAAGAUAAAACACGAGCUUUAGUAAUUUCUUGAACACCGUGUCCGUGACCUUCUCCAAAUUGGUACAUGCAUUGAGACAUCCUCGCCAAAUUCAUUGCAAUCCCAACAAAAACGUCGGACACGAAAUGUGGGUUUCCAAAUCGAUCACGGUUCAUCUUCAUCCAUGUCUGAGCAAUCAAAUCAUGUAUAUGUUCACGAGCUUCUCUCUCUGAGACUCCAGCUUCAUGCAUGUAACAUUGAAUUGAUUUAUGAACAUCUCCCCUCUUCAGCUCAUCCUAAUAAUUAAUUCAAUCAAACUUAUUGUCAACAACAUUAACAAUUAACUAAUUAUCUAAUAAUCAGAUUGUGAGUACUACAAUUUGUUAUGGAGAAUAUCCUAUACUGCUGAGAAUAAUUCCUCAACUAAUAAUAAGAAUAUAUUAUGUUGUCAGUGGAUAUGAGAUAUCUUCUAUAACAAAUUUAAUAUUAAAAAUGAAUUCAUUGUACCGAUGAUUUUCCCAAAUCGUCUGCAAGUCGUAGAAUUAUUGAUGACCAACGAAUUAUGUUGGGAUAAUCUUUCACGAAUUCCAAGCCCUCCGUUGUUAUUGGAUUUGCUGUAGAAGUGUAUGCAUGGACUAGAAUUACAGGUGCUGCUACCGAAAUCCAAGCAUUUUCCAUGUACUCUUGGAGUGUUGGUAUGUAGCCGUUGUCGUACCACUUGGCCUCCACUAAAUAUGUUUUGCGUAGAUUUGCCCACUGAAAGUUUUAUUUUUGUAUAUCGAAUUGAUUAAUAUAAUAUCAAAUACAAAAGCAUAAAUUAAAUUAAUUAAAGGGAAAUAAUUUCCAAGCACCUCAAGAAUAUUAUAAAUAUAAUUAGUCACCAUAAAUUUCUAAUAAUAUCUUGGCACUAACUCAAAUUUUAGUUUUAUAUCAACCAGACAUUUUUUUAUUAACUCUAUUAGCUAUCAUUAAAUAAUUUAAGGUAAAAGACCAAUUUACCCUAAAAUGAAAAACACAUGGUAAAUUGGUGGUGCAAAAUAAUCUUUUAUCUUAUAUUAUUUUAAUAGUGACUAACAGAGUUAAGAGAAAAGUGAUCGGUUUACAUAAAAUUAAAACUUGAAAUGAUGUAGAGAUAAUACUAGUUAUCAUAGCAGUUAUUAAACUUUUUGAUAUUCUUAAGGUGAUUGGAGAAUAAUAUUCCUUAAUCAAAAUGAAAGGUUUAAUCUACUAGUACCGCUUUCUUAAGAUAAGAAAUGACCAUGCCAACUCCUUGAUCCCGAAGAGCAUCAAAAGCCAUUUCAUUUAUGGAAUUAUGGAGAGCAAGAAAGCACAACUUCGUAUAGUCUGGAAGUUGCUCUAUUGUAGUAGCGUCCCACCUAACAAUGUAAUACAACUAAAUUAAAAUAAGAGAGGUGUAUAAAUUUAUAAAUUCCUGAGUAAUGAUCUAGUGAAUAAUGUGCUCGCUUUAUGCUGGGCAAUACUAUCACAUAAUUUAUAUAAUUACUUCAUAAUUUUAACAAUAUUCAUUAGGAAUCACAAAAUUAUAUCAUGUGUCCAAGUGUUUAUCAUACGAUGAGUACUAAUCCUCACUAAAUCAUUUUCCAUACACAAUCAUACAGAUAGAAAUGACAUUAAAUAAAAGUAACCUCUCAAUUGCAUCCGUGAAAAGUUCAAGUUCGUCCAAAGUCCUAUAGACAUCAUAAACAUCAUCUAUUGUUGUUAUUAAGGCAUUGACCAUUGUAGACAUCCGUCUACUAUAUCCAAAAUCCGGUUCGAAUAUCACCCCCACGGUCCAGAAGAAAUUCUCCAUUAUUCUGUCUCUUGCAAAAUUCAACCUCUCCCCAAGUCCUGUUUUCUUCCACCACCUGACCACAUAAUUAAUUAGCAUGAAAUUAAUUGAGUUACAUAAAUACAUGCUCAGUUAGAUUUAAUUAUUCUUGAGUGCGGAUCUCCACAUUUUUACAAAUGCUAUUGUGAAGAUAGCUCAUUAUGCAGAAGUGAAGAAGAAGAAUCAGCAUGGUGUUAAGCCUUGUAACAAGAAUGUCAAGUUACCAGCUGUCAUUAGUGCCACGUCAGAAGAUCCAAGCCAGCAGCAGUUACCAGCUUAACUAACUUCACAAUGCACACUCUGUAUUUUGUUAUUGUUAGUUGAGUGAGCUUGUGUUUAAUAAUUAGUUAGUGAGCAAUUAGUUAGAGUAUGUAAAGCAUGUAUAAAUAGCUACAUAUUCGAGAUUGUUAACGUGUACAAAAUAUCAGUUCAUUAAUGAAAUAAGAAAUUUUCCUAUGUUUUUCUCAGCUGCCAAACAGCAGCACUUAUCAACUUUUACAAUUUCUUCAUGGUAUCAGAGCCAUUCAUGGCAACCUCAAGCAAUCAAAAUACAGUAGCUACAAAUCAAACAACUUUUUCUUUCAUCACACCAAUCAAAUUAGAUAGAUCUAACUACAUGCUUUGGAAAAAUCAAGUGCUGGCCUCCAUUAGAGGAAAUCGACUUGAAGGAUACAUUAAUGGAGAAAAGAUUGCACCAAAUCGAUUUAUAGCAUCAUCAAGCUUUGCUGGAGCAACUGCUGGAGCUGCUGGAUCUUCUCAACAGAUCGAGAAUCCUGAAUACACAGUUUGGAGAUCUCAAGAUCAAACAUUACUCAGCUAGCUUCUUAGCUCAAUAACCGAAGGUAUUCUCAGUCUAGUUCACUUAUGUAAUACUUCAUUUGAUGUAUGGAAAACAUUAGAGAAAAGGUUUGGUGUACAAUUUGAGGGUAGAGUUCUUCAACUUAAGUAUGAGAUGAGUGUCUUAAGAAAAGAAUUACUAAGUAUUGAAGAAUAUUGCUUAAAAAUGAAACAAGUUACAGAUAAAUUGGCGUGUGCUGGUAGUCCUGUAUUAGAUAGAGAUAUGUUGCAACAAAUUCUCAAUGGUUUAAGAGCUGGCUAUUUGGAUUUAGCUACUUUUAUCACAACAAGCAAGUUGGAUUAUGAUGAUGCUUAUGCUUUAUUACUCACUCAUGAAGCCAGACUUGAACAAAGUCAAAGUGAAAAGCACAUGUUUAAUGCAAACUAUGGUAAUAUGUCUAACUGGAAUAAUAAUAGUAUGAUGAAUGCAUACUAUGCUCAAAUAAGAGGUCAAGCUAGGAGAGGAGGAUAUACAGGAGGUGUCCAGGGCAAUUAUAAUGGUCAUUUAGGUGGUAGAAAUGGCAUGUUUAAUGGUAGAUGAAUAUUUUUAAACUCACAUCCAAGAGGUUUUCCUGCUGGAACUGGUCAUUUUGGUAAUCAUGGAAGAAAUCAAAUGAUGAUGGGAAGUAAUAGAUUUGGUUCUUCUGGAAGAGGUUCAUUUGGAAGUAUUGGUUUUUCUGGUACUGGUAAUUUGCCUUCUUUUGAAUCACAAGCAUCCAACAGUGAUGAUUCGAUGAAUACAUGUCAGAUUUGCUUCAAAGCAGGACAUACAGCUGUUGAAUGUUGGCACAGAUUUGAAGAAAAUUACAUACCUCAGCCACCAAGACAAUUUCAGAGAGAAAAAGGUUCAAAGUCUGCUUACAUAGCUAAUUAUGAACCUGCAUACAUGCCUUACUAUUCAACAAAUGAUGAUCCAUGGCCUGUUAAUAGUACUGGAUUACAAAUGUCACAUUCUGGACAUUCUUGUGUAUAUGACUAUUCUGGUAUACCCUAGGCUGGAGCUGCUUUUGCUGCACAUUGUGAAGGACCUGCAGAUGAAGGCUGGUACCUGAACAGUGGUGCCACAUAUCAUCUGACCAACAGCAUGGGAAAUCUGAAUAUCAGAGAUGAGUUUAGAGGUGAUGAUAAGCUCAUUAUUGGUAAUGGUGAAGGUUUAUCAAUAACUCAUAUUGGUGAUUCUUAUUUUUCAUUCAAGAGUUCAAAAUCUCAACCUGCAGAUUCACAUAUUGCACUUAAAGAUAUUUUGCUUGUUCCCUCUAUCACAAAGAACCUAAUAAGCAUUUCCAAACUUACCACUGACAAUAACAUUUCUGUUGAAUUUCUUGGAUCAUUUUGUGUUGUGAAGGAUUUGCUGAAAGGACAAGUUCUAAUGCAGGGCAUUGCUGAGAAAGGAUUGUAUAAAUUGCUGGUCAAACCUAUGUCUUCCACCAAGAAUUUUGAGUCAUCAUCUGUUGUGUCUCAUAGUCAAGCCAAUAAACCUCUGUCAAUGUUAUCAUUCUGUCAUCUUGCUUCUCAUAUGCCAUCUGUAGAGUUCAUAAAUAAUCCAAACAUUUGUUUACAGAAUGGUAUUGAUGUAUGUUCUGAUAAGCUUAAUAAAAUAGCUCUUUUACACAGAAGAUUUGGCCACCCAAAUUCUCAAAGCUUAUUGCAUUUACUCAAACUUCAUCAUGCUGAUAAGUUCUCUAUGAAUAUGGUUAAACAAGCAACACAACAUUUCUAUGAAGCAUGUCAGUUGGGUAAAAUACACAAAUUGCACUUCCCAAUUACGGAAAUCAAAACCAAAUCAGCACUUGAGCUUAUACACACUGAUCUUUGAGGUCCCUCACCAGUUAUUUCAAGAGAAUGCUUUAGAUAUUAUAUUAGCUUUGUUGACGAUUUCACUAGAUAUACUUGGAUUUACCCAUUGAAAUUGAAAUACGAAGCUUUAGAAGUUUUUAAGCUAUACAAGUUGCAAGUUGAAAACCAGUUCCAAACAACCAUUAAGAUACUGCAAUCUGACAUGGGGGGGAGAAUACAGAUCAUUCACUGAAUUUUUAAAUCAGUGUGGCAUUUUAUUUAGGCACUCUUGUCCACAUACUCAUCAUCAGAAUGGCUUAGUUGAGAGAAAGCACAGACAAGUGGUAGAAUUGGGUCUUACAUUGUUAGCUCAAGCUAAGCUUCAUUUAAAUUUUUGGUGGGAUUCUUUCCAUGCUUCAGUUUAUCAUAUCAAUAGGUUACCAACUUCAGCUCUUAAAAUGUUGACACCAUAUGAAAAACUUUUCAAACAUAAAGCUGAUUAUAAGAUGCUGAAAUGUUUUGGUUGUGCUUGCUAUCUAUACUUGAGAGAUUACAAUAAGCAUAAGUUUGAUUUUCAAACAAGUAAAUGCAUAUUCAUUGGUUAUAGCCCUGCUCACAAAGGAUAUAAAUGCAUGCAUCAUUAUGAUCGUAUAUACAUAGCAAGGCAUGUCAUAUUUGAUGAAAAUGCAUUCCCUUUCUCUUCAGAUCGUAAUUUCAAUUAUGAAAGCAAAAUACAACCAAUAUCUAGCUAUACUUUGUCUCCUCAUCAAGUUUGUCAUUUGUCCACUCUCUUGUUGUGUCAAAUCCUUGUGAUAGCAGUUUUGAAUCCUGUCCUCCAGCAUGUUCCAACAACACAGAACUGUUCCCACCAGCAGAUCACCUCCAAGCAAAUGAGGCUACACAACUUUAAACACCAAAUCUUAAUCCUGCUCUUGAACCUACUCAUGAUCAAAACUCACCAAACACUUCAAAUUUUACUCCAAUUCUAUUACCAUCUCAAUCUCAAAUAACCUCAAACAGUAUUCAACCUUUACAAAACAAUCACCCUAUGAUCACAAGAGGAAAAGCAGGUAUUUUUAAACCAAAAAUGUAUACUGCAGUGUUAGUUCACAAAGAGCCAGAUUCAGUUGAUGAAGCUUUGCAAGAUACAAACUAGUUUACAGCUAUGAAAAAUGAGUAUGACGCACUAAUCGAAAAUAGAACUUGGUCUUUAGUACCAAGAACAGAAAACCAGAAAAUUGUUGGGAAUAAGUGGGUGUAUAGGAUAAAGUAUAAUACUGAUGGCAGUGUAGCUAAGUAUAAGGCUCGGUUGGUGGCAAAAGGGUUUCAAUAGAUUGAGGGUGUGAAUUAUUUUGAUACCUUUAGUCCAGUGGUAAAGCCAACAAUAGUUAGAGUAGUUCUUAAUUUUGCAGUGAUGAAUCCGUGGAUAGUUAGACAGGUGGAUGUCAACAAUGCAUUCUUAAAUGGUGAAUUGUCAGAAGAGGUGUUUAUGCAGCAACCUGAAGGAUUUGUUGAUAAAAGCAAACCUAACUAUGUUUGUAGAUUACACAAAGCAUUAUAUGGUCUUAAGCAAGCUCCUAGAGCUUGGUUUGAAAAGCUCAGAGGAUGUCUUCUGCAGUGGGGUUUCAGAAAUUCCAAAUCUGAUUCUUCUUUAUUCUUAAGAAGAACUAAAUUGUCACUCAUCAUGGUAUUGAUAUAUGUUGAUGACAUAUUAGUUACUGGACCUAACAGUGGAGAAUUGGACAGCUUCAUUCAAUAAUUUAAUACUGUUUUUGCUUUGAAAGACUUAGGAAGGUUGUCUUAUUUCCUUGGUAUAGAAGUGUUGUAUGGUCAGGAUUGCAUUUAUUUGUCUCAGAAGAAGUAUAUAAGAUAUUUGCUUGCUAAAGUAGAUAUGCUUGAUUGUAAAGGAGUGAUAACACCAAUGUGUAGUGGCAAAGACUCAAAGUUACAGAAGAUAGUUAAAGAAGAAUUGGGUUACUAUGUUGAAGAUGCUACUCAUUAUAGAAGCAUUGUAGGUGGUCUCCAGUACCUGAUCUUGACAAGACCAGAAAUUGCUUAUUCUGUUCAUAAGCUGAGCCAAUAUGUAUCUGCACUAACUAUGCAACAUCUUAUGGCUUGCAAAAGGGUUUUUAAAUAUCUAAAGGAGACACAGGAUUAUGGCUUAAAGUUUGUUAAGGAUGGUGAUAUGAAAAUUACUUCAUUCACUGAUGCAGAUUGGGGAAGUGACUUGGAUGAUAGGAAAUCAAUUGGAGCUUACUGUGUGUAUCUUGGAAAUAAUCUGAUUUCAUGGUCUUCGAAGAAGCAAACAGUAGUCACUAAGUCUUCAGCUGAGAGUGAAUAUAGGGCACUUGCUUUAGCUGUUUCAGAAAUAGCUUGGUUAAAAUCAUUGUUUCUGGAAAUGGGAGUAUGCUGUGUAGAGAGACCAACAAUAUGGUCUGAUAAUAUGAGUGCAACAGAACUAGCAAAGAAUCAUUUAUUCCAUUCAAGAACUAAACACAUUGAGAUUGAUGUUCAUUUUAUUCGAGAUAAAGUGUUAGCUGGUGACCUCAAAAUCUGUUAUGUGCCAAGUGAAGAUCAGAUUGCAGAUAUCCUAACCAAGCCCUUAUCUUCUCCUCAGUUCAAUUACUUAAGGGACAAACUCAAUGUCUUUCCAUGUCCUUUGAGUUUGAGGGGGCUGCGAAGAUAGCUCAUUAUACAGAAGUGAAGAAGAAGAAUCAACAUGGUGUUAAGCCUUGUAACAAGAAUGUCAAGUUACCAGCUGUCAUUAGUGCCACGUGAGAAGAUCCAAGUCAGCAGCAGUAACCAGCUUAACUAACUUCACAAUGCACACUCUGUAUCAACUUGCCUAAUUGAUCAUUGAUUCAUCACUGCAAGACUUAGCACAACUCUGACAGUGGCUGGUUUUAUCACUGGAUUGAAAGUCUCAAAAUAGUUCACCCUUGCAAUCUGCUGAAAACCCUUUGCCACUAACCUAGCUUUAUACUUAGCUAAACUGCCAUCGGUGUUGUGUUUAACUCUGUAUACCCACUUAUUGCCAACUAUCUUUUGAUAACUUGUUCUUGGAACCAAUGACCAUGUAUUGUUACGAGUUAAAGCGUCAAAUUCAUUUUUCAUAGCUGUAAACCAAUUUGGAUCAUGUAAUGCCUCAUGAACUGUAUCUGGUUUCUUAUGUUCAAGAAUUGCUGUGUAUACUUUGGGUUUAAAGAUACCAGCUUUACUCCUGGUAAUCAUUUGGUGUGUGUUUGGUUGAGAUGAAGGUUGUUGAAUGAUUAUUGAUGUUUGUAUAUUGGAUGAAAUAGGUAUUGGUUGAUUGUUAGGUGAAGUGGAUGGAGACGAUGUAGGUUGAAUAGGUAAAAUGUGAGAUUGUAUAGGUUCUUCUGGUAUAGUGUGUUGGGUUGAAGCUGAGUUAACCAAGUGGUCAGAACCACUGCAAUUGGAACUUACAGAGUCAGGAUUAGUCAAGCUGCCAUCAGGAGAAAAAGAAGUUACAGAUAGAGUAGUGAGAUGAUAGACUUGUUGAGGAGUAAGAUGAAUAGGAGAGCAAAAAUUGGAUUUCUGUGACUCGUAAAUAUUUGAAUAAGGAAAUGUAUUUUCAUCAAAAACCCGGACACAUACGACCAGAAUGUCCUCUUCUCAACAAACUCAAGAAGAAAGCUAUGGUGGCCACAUGGGAUGAUAACGAUGAGGAAACAAGUGAUGAUGAUGAGCAACAAGAAAUGACAAAUUUAGCUCUCAUGGCCGUUGGGGAAGAAUCAUGUGAUGAACUUGAUGAGGUAAGUGUUCUUCUUACGUAUGAUGAAUUGCAUGAUGCUUUUAAAGAUUUGCAUGAUGAGCUAAUGAAGAUUGGUAAAAAGAAUAUAUGUCUUAAUAAGAAGAUGAUAGAGCUUAAGAAUGAAAAUGAUUUAUUUAGUACAAAGAUUACAUGCCUAAAAUUAGAAAAUAAAACAUUGCAUGAUAGUAUUGCAUCAUUUAAGAAUUCUAGCACUUCACAUGAGCACUUAGAGUCACACAUGAAUGACUUGAAAAAUGAGAAUGAAAUGCUUAGAAAGAAGAGCAAUGAACUAAAUGAAAUUUUGCUAAAAUUCACAAAUGGGCAAAAGAUGUUGGACAAUUUGCUAAACUCACAAAAAUGUGUAUUUGAAAAAAGUGGCAUACGUUAUAAACCGAACUUGAAACAAAAAUUUUACAAGAGUUAUUUUGUGAAGAAUACAUCUAUUAACAAUCAAAUUGUAUGUCAUUUUUGUAAUCAAGAUGGUCAUAUGAAAAAUAGAUGUGCAGUAAAGAGAAAUGCAUAUUAUGGUGUGAAAUGUGUUUGGGUUCCGAAAGGAACCAUUGUUAACUCUCAAGGACCCAAAAAGGUUUGGGUACCUAAAACUUGAGAUUUUCUCUACAAGGCUUGAAGAAGAAGAAGAAGAAGUGGUACUUGGACAGCGGUUGUUCAAGACACAUGACAAGGAAUUAUUCUUGGUUUUCAAGUUUCACUAAGAUCGAAAAUGGUGGAGAUGUAUCGUUUGGAGAUAAUUCAAAAGGAAAAAUCAUUGGGAUUGGAAAUGUCGGUAAUGUAUCCUCUACUCUCAUUGAAAAUGUGUGUUUGGUUGAAAACUUGAAACACAAUUUGCUUAGUAUUACCAUAAACCAAGCCACGUACGUGAAAGAUCUACUCAAAAGAUUUGGCUAUGAUAAUGGAAUUGCAAAAAGCACUCCUAUGAGUACUACCAUCAAGCUGGACAAAGAUGAGAAAGGUAAGGAAGUUGAUAUCAAGACAUAUCGAGGUAUGAUCGGAUCCUUACUUUACUUGACUGCUAGUAGGCCUGAUAUUAUGUUUAGUGUUUGCUUGUGUGCUAGAUUUCAAUCUUGUCCUAAAGAGUCUCACAUGCUUGCUGUCAAACGCAUUUUUCAAUAUUUAAUUGGCACUAUUAAUCUUGGCCUUUGGUAUCCUAGAGGAACUCAUAUUGAUUUAACUUGUUAUUCGGAUGCCGAUUUUGCUGGGUAUAAGGUUGACAGAAAAAGUACUAGUGGAACAUGUCACUUCCUAGGCCAUUCUCUUGUCUCUUGGUUUAGUAAGAAACAAAACUCGGUUGCGCUUUCAACCACUGAGGCAAAAUAUAUUGCUGCAGGUAGUUGUUGUGCACAAAUUCUUUGGAUGAAACAAACCCUUAGAGACUAUGGUAUUAAGCUUGAUCAAAUACCUAUCUUAUGUGACAAUACUAGUGCUAUAAAUCUUUCCAAGAAUCCCAUUCAACAUUCUAGGACUAAGCAUAUAGAAAUUAGACACCAUUUCCUUAGAGAUCAUGUUAAAAAAGGAGAUGUCGUAAUUAAAUUUGUUUCCACUGAAAAUCAACUUGCGGAUAUCUUUACAAAACCUCUUAGCGAAGAGCAUUUUAUAAAGAUAAGACAUGAGCUUGGAAUGAUGAAUGUUGAAUCUUAAUUCAUGUUUUACUACAUGACUUGAUAUGUUUGUUAUCAUAUUAAUUUAUGCUUCAUGAAUUAGAUAGCUUGAUAUGCUUGUGAAUUUAUGAUUUUAUGAUUUUGUGUUUCAUGCAUUAAAUGGCUUUUUGAAAAGUUUUAAAUCUCAAAAUGAUUUAAAAUUAAUCAAUUUUUAAGGCUGGAAAUAAAAUGGUGUGUGUAGUAUAAGUAUAAGAGCUAGCAAAUAUUCCCUUUCCAUUCAUCAGGAAAAAUAUUUUUUUUUUAUUGAUUUCUCUCGGGACAAAUUCCGGAUAACCGAAUUUUCAAUCCACAAAACCGGAUUAGCUUUGGUUGCUCUCGGGACAACAUUCGGAUAACCGGAUUUUCAAUCCGGAAAACCGGAUUUGCUAAGCCACCUCUCUACCUCAUAACCGAUCUACGGGUUCUUCAAUCCGGAAAACUGAAUUUGGAAGGGGACUCACUGCCUCACAACUGGUCUACCGGUUAGCAAAACCGAAAAACCGAAUUCGCAUGCAUGCUUGCUGGAACAAAACCGGAUUUCCAAUUCAAGACAAUCCGGAAAGCCGGAUUUUUGGAAGCUCUCGAAAUUGGCCAGCCGGUUAAGAAAACCGGCAAGCCGAAUUCCCUCAUGUUGCUCUCGGGUUCAUAUCCGGUCAACCGAAUUUCAAAUCCGGCAGAACGUUUUCGCUUGUUUGGUUUCUAUCCAAUAACCGGCUUGCCGGUUAGGAAAUCCGGCAAGCCGGAUUCGUGAGCCUUUUGUGCUGUUCAUCCUCUUCCUCAUGCAUUCGGCAAUCCGGCUCUUCCUCUCUCUAAAAAUCGUUUGCUUCUCUCUCAUUUUUCAUUCCAAAAUCCACCAUUUCUACUCGGUUUUGAUGCAAAUCAAUCCAUAAAUCUUGAUCCCCAUCCGUUCUUAUACCUAAAAUCACACUCAAAACUCAUUUUCAACCUCCAAAUCCCUAGAUCCGAAUUUCAACCUAGGUUUUGGGCCGAUUUUUCUCUCUCUAGAUUUCUCACUCUCAAUCCGUUUUUGAUCCAAUUUGUUUCUCCAAAUCACUUUCAAUCUUCAUCAUCUUCAUUCUCUUUGGUGUUUUUAUCUUCAAAUCCAUCAAAAUCAAAAUGUCAAGCUCUCGGUCGGUUCGAAGAAAAGGCAAAGAACCGGUUCAACAAACCACCCGACCACGAGAAGCAAGGGGCACCUCAAAUCAAUCCACUUUUGAGUCCAUUCAUUUUCAGAACAAGCAACAGUUGAUCAAACGGUUUCAACAAAACUUUCGGACUCGUGAGGUACUCAACACUUUCUUUGUUUUACCGGAUGUUAUGCAUACUCUCAAGAUUAGUUAUAGAAAUAUAUUUCAAUUGUUGGGAGAUGUUGGUUGGAUUGAUGCAUUGUUGAUUGAGGAGAAUGUGUAUCCUGACUUGGUGAAAGUAUUUUACUCGAAUAUGAAUUGUUCUGCGGAGAAAGAGAAUCGAGUAAUCACCACAGUUGGAGGAGUUUUAAUUGAAUUUGAUGAUUCGGAGUUGAACUCCAUCCUAGGCUCUUUCGAUGAUGGCCUGGACAUUUUUUCUCUUAGGAAACCUCCUGAUAUUGAUGAGUAUGUUCAUGUUGAUGUCAUUCGUAAUAUUUGUCGGCGUAGUGAUCUUUCUGUUGAAGACUGUACCAUUCAUUUUCGUACUUAGUGUCUUUGUCUUCAAACUCGUAUUUUGCUUCGUAUCAUCCAGUCCAUUGUACUUCCUAGAUCAGGACAUUUGGAUGAGGUUUCUCACAUGGAUGUCGCCAUGAUUGACUGUAUUCUUAGAGGUUGCCCGGUUAACUUGGGCUAUUUCAUCAUCCGCACCAUGUUGAGCAUUCCUGCCUUGAUUACCCGCUCUCUUCCUUAUGGUCACUUCAUUACCCGAAUUCUUAAAUUCUUUGAAGUGCCAAUUUUAGAAUCAUCUUGUAGGCCGUCCAAGAGUAUCGGGGAUGAGGUUAUUAUUGGGUUAAGGCUUUGAGUAUAAGGAUGGCACUUGGGUCAAAUACAGCGAUAACAAGUUUACCUUUCUAGUCCCAAGUGAUGAUCGGCGACUUAAUGCUGUGAUUCCAGCCGAUUAGCUUCCAGUUUUCUCACUCUCAUUUCGAGGGCAGCGUAGACGCCGAGUUUCUUCCACGGUUGCUUCAGCUCCUAGUGCAUCUGCAUCCGCUUCAUCACCUCCACAUCCUCCUACCUCUGAAGAGGUCACUCUUCAGCAGAUUAUGGAUGAAGUGCGGACACUCUCUGUGCGGCAUACUGAGUUUCAGCAGCGGCAGACUGAGUUUCAGCAACAGCAGCAGCAGCUUAUUCAUGGAUAGCGCCUCCUCUUCGGGCACUUCGGCAUUCCAUAUCCGUUUCCACCUCCAUCACCUCCAUCCUCACCACCUGAGUAGUAUCUUAUGCUUGUACUUGGACACAUCUACAUUUCAUUUACUGAAUUGUGUGUUCGUUUAUUUUUGAAUCUAUGGAUGGUUAUUAUGCUUUUCGGUUUAUGUCUUUGUUUUGGAUGAUAUAGAUUUGUUGUGACUAUUUAUGUUGGAUGUUAUGGAUUUGUUUUGAUUGAUCAUUAUGAAGUAUAUGGAUUUUCUUAUGCUUAUGGAUAUUUUUUUUUACUAAUGUGCUUAUGUUGCGAUUUUGAUGAUUGAUAGGGGGAGCCUUUAUUCUUUUUUAUGAUGAAGGGGGAGAAUGAUUUAAUAUGUGUUAUGAAAAUAUGCAUGUAUCUGGGGGGAGCAUGUAUGCAGGGGGAGUUUUUGUUAAAUAAUUUUCAAAUCAUUUUUUAACUUGCAUUGAUUAAGGGGGAGCUUUUCAUAACUAGAUUAAAUUUGAAUGUGCUUUGUCAUCAUCAAAAAGGGGGAGAUUGUUAGCCUAUCUGGCUAUAAAUAUUGAUUUUGAUGAUAACAAACCACAUGUAUUUAUUAAGCAAAGAUUUAUGAAUUGUGCUUUUAUAAUAAGAAAAUGAUGUUAUGGAAUUAAAGCAUUUUGGACUAAAAUGAAAGUAAUUUCAAAAUCUUUGAUAGUGUUUUAAAUUUCAGAUUUGGACCUAUUUGAAACUAUUUAAAUGUUUUUGGGCCAUUCUAAAAUUUCAAAAAGUUUAGGUAAAAUCAUAAUUUCAAAAAGUUUUGGGAUUAAUGAAGCAUUACUUAGAAAUUCUAAAAUUGGACCUAUUUGUAAAUUUUUAUAACGUUUUGGGCCAUACUAUAAUUUUAUAAAGUUUGGGGUCAAACUGAAAAAUUGGAUACGGGGCAGUAAGCAUCCAGAACGCAAACAGCUUACCAGAUUUCGUAACCGGCAAGCCGGAUAGGCAAAAUUCAAAAUUUUACCUUAACGGUAACAUAAAUUCAGCUUACCGGAUUCCAUAAACGGCAAACCGGAUACGCCCAGAAUGUGAGUAACGGCUAGUUUUUGAGCUCAAACUAUAAGAACUCAAAUCCAACUCAUUUUAAAGCUCUCCCAACAAGCAAAAAUAAAAAGCACACGUGGUAUCUUGAGCCUUCAAACUUACGAAAUACAAAUAUUGAAUCAUUUCUUGUUCUUUAUUUUUGAAUAUCUACUCAUUAAGUGAGUUUCAUUGUAACCUUCAUUUAUUCAUCUCAAUUGUAAGAGUUUGAGUGUGUGUGACACUUGAGUGAAGAGAUUAGGAGAUAAUCUCUUUGUUGUAAAGGUUUAUUGACAUCUCGAAGUCAAUUGUAAUCGUUGAAGCCUUGGAAAGGCUUGGAUAGUGAAAUCCUCAAACUUGGAUCGCUUGGAGGCGUGGACGUAGGCGGGGAUUGCCGAACCACGUAAAAAUUCGUGUGUUUGUUUCUCUUCUCCCUUACUCUUUAAUUAUUGUGCUUUUCUUGAACUUAUUGCUUUCAAUUUUUAUUAAGACAUUAGAUUGCUUGUUGUGUGGAUUUGCUAGGAUAAUUUUUAAAUUUCCAAUUCACCCCCCCUCUUGGGUUGCACACUUAUAUUUCAGCAGGAAAAUGCAAUCUAUGUGAUUUUCUCAUUUGACAUUCUUCACAAAUGAUUGCAAGUGCUUGCUGUUUUACAUUGUGAGAAAUAUUAAUAGACUUGACUUGUUUGAGCAAAUGCAUUAGUGUAUGAAAAUUGGGAUGGCCAAAUCGUUUAUGCAAAAGAAGAAUUUUAUUCAUUGCUGAAUUGCAUGAAUCAACAACAGUAUGAUGACAUAUCUUAUUAUCUGAGACUUUGCUCUAGACAAUGGAUUGACAAUUAAAACUGGAAUGACAAACAAAUAACAUUCACAAAGGCCUAUUAGAAAUAGUUUGACAUAGAAAAGAAGAAGGAAGUGUUUGUGCAGAUGGCUUUAAAAGCAGCUGGUAUAAUCCUUUCUCAGCAAGACCUUGCAGAGGAACUUGCCCCCCUCAGUGUAUCCUUCACAUAACAAACAUCACCAGAAAAUUCAACUGUCAAGUUAUUAUCAGUAGUGAGUUUGGACAUGCUUAGCAAGUUUUUAGUAAUUGAAGGAACCAGUAGGAUAUCUUUGAGUGCUAUUUGUGUAUGAAUAGAUUUGGCAUUUGAAUGUGAGUGUUUAUAACAAAGGAAAGCAUCACCAAUAUGAGUAAUAACCAAACCUUGACCAUUGCCAAUGAUGAGCUGAUCUGACCCUUUGAACUCCUCUCUGACAUGCAUGUUAGACAUGUUGUUGGUCAAGGGAUGAGUGGCACCACUAUCGAGAUACCAUCCAUCAUCAGCUGGUCCUUCAAAAUUAGCAACAUAUGCAGCCCCAGGUGUUGUGAAAUCUUUUGAUGCAUAAGGUGAGAUGGAGUUUGGAGAGUAAUACAUUGGUUGUUGACAGUUCAUAUCAAAAGAUUCUUCAAAUAGACAUGUAGAAAAUUGUGGUUCAAAAGCAGUCAAGUAGGUAGACUUAGCAGCUCUACCUCUACCAAAAGGUUUUGGUGAAGGUACAAAAUCAUCUCCAUACCUAUGCCAACAAGCAUCAGCAGUAUGCCCUUGCUUGUGAUAAAUUUGACAUACAGGUAGUGUGCCGUCAGAAUUUCCAGUAUGCAUAGAAGGAUUUGCAGGCAUUGAUCUGUGAGUAUGCAUUGGUUGUCCUCUUCCAUAACUACUGAAAUUACUAUUUCCUGAAGGAAAACCUCUAGGAUAAUGUUGAAAGAACAUGCCUCUACCAAAAUUUGGUCUUCUACCACCACCAAAAUUACUAUUAACACCACGAUAUCCACCUCUAUAUGAACCUCUUUUACUAUUACCCCUAAUCUGAGAGUAAUUUGCAUUCAUCAUGCUAUAAUUAGCGUUGAACACAUUUGUAGCAUUCUGAGUUUGUUUUAAUCUAGCUUCAUGUGUAAGGAGUAAGGCAUAUGCUUCAUCAUAAUCCAUUUUGUUUGCAGUGAUAAUAGAUGCUAAAUCCAAAUAACCAGAUCCUAAGCCAUCCAGACUCAUUAAUAGAUCCUUUCCAGUUAUAGAGUCACCAGCACAUGCAAGUUUGUCAGCAAGCAUUUUCAUUUUGCCACAGUAUUCUUCAAUAGACAUUGAAUCUUUUCUUAAAAUAUUCAUCUCAUAUCUAAGUUGCAUCACUCUAGCCUCGAAUUGCACUCCAAAUUGUUUUCAAUAGAGGUCCAAACAGCAAACGAAGUGUCGCAACCUAAAACAGAACUUAAAAUACCUUCACUGAUUGUAGAUAACAGCCAUCCAAGAAGGAUCUGAUCUUGAGUACACCAGUUGAUGUAGGCUGGAUUCUCAACUCUUUUUUCUGAAAUUUCAUAUGAUGUUGAAGCUGGAUCAGGAAGAUACUAAUCUAGUACAGCUCGAUUUCCAAAAAUAUAAUGUUCAAGUCGAUUGUCUCUUAUGGAUGUGAGAACUUGUUUGCGCCAUAGUAAAUAAUUGGAUCGAUCAUGCUUUACAGGAGUAGUGAAUGUGAAUGAAACAUUUAAAGGUUGAUUUUGAUUAAGAAAAUUUGGAUUUGAGUGAGUUGUACUUGAGUUCGCCAUGAUUAUUGCUCUGAUACCAUAAAGGAAAUAUGAAACGAAGUGUUUGGCUUAAAAGAAAAUAACAGAGAAAAUAAUCUUCUAAUUUUGCAGAUCUUUUAUUUCUUAUUAAGAAUGAUUACAUCACUUCUAUUUAUACUAAAUAAUCAAUAACUAACUAAGAAUUAAAUCCAGCUAAUCAUUUGUUCAGUAUACACUGUGAGUAAAAACAAACUUUAACUAACUGUGCUGAGCUGGCAGUCUGGACUGUUGCGUUUCUUAACAGCUUCUGAUAGUUUGACUUGAGUUGACCCAAGCUAUGUUUUCUCAUGCUCUGCAUAAUGUACUUCCUUAACAAGUUGAGAUUAUUUUCAGAGGAAAAGUAUGUAAUUUCACUGAAAUAUUUUUACUUUAUUUUCCAAUAUUGACUGCUAGAAACUGAGAAGAAUGCUAAAUCGCCGAAAAUUUUACGACUAUAAGCAUUUUUUCUAUUGACUGGCAGAUCUAAAGGGGCCUAAAUGAUAUGAGAUACGUUAAGCUUAAUUUACUCUAAGAGAAUUGCUACGACAUCUUGAUUUGUCAUCAUGAGUUUAUUUUGUGAGAUGUGAAAUACAAAGCUCAGUUAGGAAUUGGGUUAUAUUUGUUGACUAUUUCUCACAUCGGUUGUGUACGGCUGGUUAAUAUGCUGUCAUGGCAAGUUAUUUUAAAAAGUAUUAAGUUUUGCAGCUUUAUCUGUUUAUAUUCAGAUGUAUCUCUAUAUGCUUGAAUGUUGUCUUCCAAUUAAUAUCACUAGUAUUCUUUUUAAAAAAAAAAAAAAUUGAAUUUAAUCUGUACUGUUUGCCCUAUGCUGAAUUGCUGAUGUCUUCAUAUUUUAAUGACAGGAAGAAGGAAACCACGUACCAAUUAAAUUCAACAUUCUAGUCUAAUCUCUGGAAGCAUUUAAUAAAUGGGUGAGUUUUUUUGCAAGGAGGUUCCCUUCUGUAUGUAUUCUGUAGGGCCAUGCAAUUAAAAGGUUUGAUGUGUUGGGAAAAUAUGCUUUUUAAAAGCAUAUGUAUUUAUUUAAUUGUAAUAAAAAUUUUUUCUGAUUAAUAAAAUUAAUGAGGUAUUUUAUUCAAAUAUCUUAAUUGCAUUAAUAUUUUGAUCAAAGUCCAUUUGAUCAUAUUAUAUGUAUUUAUGUGAUCACCAUGUGGAUUCACAAAAGACAUAAAUAGAAGUUAUCUUAUGAUUAAAUAAAUUUAGUUCGCAGUUGAUAAAUAAAAUUGGGCACUUUAUUUAGGUAUAGACUGUAAUGAAUUCAUUAAAUGAUUUAUCUUAAUCAUGUAUGAAUUUAUUGAUAUAGUACGACUACAUUGAACAAGAUCACAUAUGAGAUUUAAUUAACUUUGUAAUAACUAUUAGACUUAUUAAAUCUCAUAGGCAUUGAUUUUACUGUAAUCUUAAUAUUGAGUUAAUUAUAAUUUCAUGAUUGUAAUUGUUAUUCCAUUUGAGUUACCAAUGGGCACGACACAUACUUGUGGUCAAGAUUACCCGGUAUCUUGGUGAGAGCAAUUAUGAGUAUUGGAGUUAUGGAUUAACAAUAUAGAAUUUGUACAACACAUCUCUUGAUGGGUUUUCGGCACUUGAUCAUAGAAUUCUCUGGCCAGAGUGUGUCAAACAUAUUUAGUAUGUUGAAAAUGAUCAUUAGAGAAAACCAGUAAGUAUCAAGGAACAAGAUGUAAUUAAAUUGAUUGGACAGUUGAGAUAUCGAUUUAAUUAAUGAUGUGGUACAAAGGAUUGUGCAGUAAAGAAAUCAAUGUGGCUUGGGAUGAAUUAUUAUUCGAGCAUACAAUUAUGGAGGUCAAUUCCAAUAUUUUAGUGGAGUAGAUUUAGAAUUAAAUAAUUAGGCUAGUUUAAUUACAGGCCUAAUUGUUAUAGCCACUAUUGUAUGUUCCCAAAUAAUCCUCAGGUUAGCUCAUUUAAUUGACUGCACCACUACUGGAUUAAUAAGCACGAUAACUAGCUAUUUGGGUCAAAAGCCUAAAUAUAUCAUUUAGUGGGAGGCUUCAUUUAAUUAGCUUGUGUGUAAGGGGCCUUAUGUUAUUUUACAAGGUGGGUCCAGGCUUAUUUUCUCUAAAAGAAAGAGAGAGCAGCCACUUUAUACAGAUCAGAGAAAAAUAUUUUUCUCUCGAUUGUUGAAAGAAAAAUUUUCUCGUGCUAGUUGCUUUGGUAGUAAUAAAGGCGCCCACACGUCAAGUGCAGAUCAAACUUGAGUUAUAACCUGGAAGAUCAUUGGUGACAGUUCAUGAUCUAACAAGCGUGGUGGUGACGGAUCGUGAUCUAACAGGCGUGGUGGUGACGGAUCGUGAUCUGGGAGCCUAAAUCACUUCAGCGGAAAAAACUAAAUCGGAUUUUCAAGGUACGAUUUCUAGAUUACAAAUUCUUAUAUAUUAUAUGAGAGCGAUCUUAAAAAGGUUUUAUAAAAAUUAAAAAAACUGAUUUUUCUCCAACAUGAUGAUCAUAAUUCACUGAUUGACUGUCCUUCAAAAUUUUCAAACCCGAGUUAUACAUUUCAUUAUCUUAAACUUGAACAUAUGAGAUUGCAUUGGUUUUGUAGCUACUUCCAAGUUUGUUUCUGAGCACCUUUGAUCACAUUUUAUGUAUAAAAUUAAUGAUUCUAAACUUGUAGUGGAGCUUUGCCAAGGGAACCAAUGCCUUCUGGUAUUACUGCAAGGCUUCCAACCUUGGAGGACCUUGAGGCCUAUGCCAUUGGACAAUGGGAGGUGUGAACUUUACCUGUUCUGUUCUUUCAUGUUUAAGGAUUUUUCAUGCCAAUCAUGCUGACCUCAAGGAGAUGCGAUGACAUAAUUAAUUACAAUUGGUGUAUCAAUUAAGCUAUUAUCUUAAAUCUUCCAAUUCUAUUAAUCCAGUGUUUCUUGCUGCAACUUAUUAGUUCAGCCCAAGCUGAAAGGCCGACAAAUUUCAGCUCUUCCACGAUGAAGGUUUUCCAGCGUGGUCUUUUGAUUCAAAGGUAGGAUUUUCUGUCACAUUUGUAAUCGUCAGUUUCUUGAUGCAAACAGUUGAGAAUCUUGGUUCUUGCAUUUGGUAUCAUGUUAUUUAUGUGCCUUAUUUGCAGGGAAAAAGAAGCCCCAAGGUUAACAGAGAGUGGUUUUCAAUUUUUGGAAUGUGUGUUAAUCACAAGAUUUUGGAUUCCCUCUUGUUUGAGCUAGUGGAACUUAUUUUUCAUAUGUUUAAAUUUGCAGCUGAUGGAUACUAAUGCACAGCUCUGGUACAUCGUUAGAGAAUAUAUCUCCAAUUCCCAGGUGUGGCUUUUGAUAUUCUGUUCAGUGGUUUCUCUGCAUCAAAAUUUCUGCGGGUCCCUGUCUUUGAUUCACUGGUAUAUUCUCUCUUUGUAAAAACUGAACUGAGUGAAGUAUUCAAAGGGCAAAAUAACGGAUUGACUUAUCUUUAAAUCUCAUUACGUUACCCAAUUGUUCAUUUUAGAACUUUGAUUUUUAUAUUAUGCACAUGUUUAUGCGAUUAAAGAGUUCAUAUUUAGAUGUAUGUAUAUCUUUUUACUUUUAGAAUAUUAAUGCCUUCUUUGAUUUUUAUUCUAUUUCUCAAUAGAUUUGUAUACUUACUGCUAACACAAAGUAGAACUAAAAGAUUUUCUUCUUUGGUAUUUCAUUGGACUAUUUAAUAGAGAUAAAAGUUCACCGGCGAUCUAAUUAUAUGUAGGAUAGCACGACUCUAUGCUUGCUUAUGGUCUACAAUACCAAUAAUAUAUCAUAUAGCUUUUCUCAUUUUCUUGCAGGAACGAGGCAUAAAUCAAGCAGAUCUGAUUUCUUUUCUUCUGGAGCUUAGUUUCCAUGUCGCUGGGGAGGUAGCACAUAUACGUUCUAUAGCUAAACACAUUAUUAUUCAGUUAUUCCAUUUAUUCAAGAAGUAUGAUAGAUUUCUGUUUGGCUAAUACUUUUGGUUUUAACAGAAUUUCAAACAUUUUUUGGGGUAUCAUUUUACAUUGAAUAUUGUCUUUUGUUCUCUUAUUCAUUUUUGUAAGCUUAUGUCUAUCUUAGUAUUGCUUUUAACUUCUCAGCAUCUUGAGGUCCUUAAUUUUUAUGUCAAGGAAUUCUCAAAGUGGUUUGAGAUCUCACUUUAUUGCUAUACUCUUUGCUUCUUCAUUUAUAGGCAUAUAAUUUAAAUACACUGAGUGAAAUACAAAGAAGUAUGAUCAAAGACUUUGCAGACUUGGGAUUGGUCAAACUUCAGCAGGUUGUACUAGUCUGUGCUACAGAAAAUGCUGGUUAUCUCUGUUAAUUUUGUAUUAUUUUGCUGGAGUUCUCAUAUGUUUUCCAUGGCUAUUCAGGGCAGGAAAGAAAGUUGGUUUAUACCUACUAAAUUAGCUACCAAUCUUUCAAUGAGCUUAACUGAUUCAUCAGCACGGAAAGAGGUAUGCUGUUUGAGAAAUCAUUGACUCUCACUCUGAAUAACGAAUAUGAAAGAAUAAGUAAAAUAAUUGUAAUUCCCCUUAAUGUCGAAUGUUGCAGACAAUUGUGUGAUUGAAUUUUUUUAAAAAUUAUAAUUUUGUUUUGCAAACUAUUAUUGUCAGAAACCAAAAUGAGGUCUCAUUUUUACAUUCUCUAAUUACAUAGCUCAUUCUACAUUUUCUUCUCUUUAGGGGUUUGUUGUAGUGGAAACAAACUUCAGGAUGUAUGCUUAUUCAACAUCUAAGCUACACUGUGAAAUUUUGCGUCUUUUCUCAAAGUAAGCCAGCCAUCUGCUUGAUAAAUUGUUUCUCUUCUAGGUUAAAGUUCUGAAUUACAUUUUGUUAUUGAACUACAUUGGUCAGUCCUAAAACCUUUUGUUUAAUAUUUUGCCAAUGUGCAGGAUAGAGUAUCAACUUCCAAACCUUAUAGUUGGGGCAAUAACGAAAGAAAGUUUGUAUAAUGCUUUUGAGAAUGGCCUUACAGCUGAGCAAGUGAGUUUGGUAUUUAGUUGAUCUGGUGAUCUGUUUUUCCAUAAAAAAAUGUCCGAUGUGGUCAAUUACCUGCAUAUAUGCAAGUAACUUCUGACAUUCUUAAUAAUUUGCCCCUUUACACCUCUUUUUCGGUCCCAGCCAUCCUCAUCUCAACAUACUUUUACAUCAACCUAGAUUAUUAUUAUUAUUAUUUUUUGGGUGGAGAAGGUUUUUUGCGAGCUUACAUACUGUUUCUGAUAUUCUUGUAGCCGAAAUAGUUUUUUCUUUCAAAGUCGCCUUUUUUUUUUCAAUUACUUUUGCAGUCAUUCUAACUCCUCUAACUCCAUGAUCGUUUGUUUUGCAGAUAAUUAGUUUUCUUCAGCAAAAUGCACAUCCUCGGGUUGCUGACAGAAUACCGUCUGUACCAGAAAAUGUUUCUGAUCAGGUCAUAAUUCUUUCCUGCGUUCAGAUGUAUUGCACAUAUCAUUGCUUCCUGACCUUCCAUAGCAAAAUUCUCGAUAUUUUCUACAUAGUACAUAUCAAUUAACAAAGAUGAUUAUUUAUAUUCUAAUAUUUCAAAUUCUGAUGUUUCUUUGACAGAUAAGAUUGUGGGAAUCCGAUUUGAAUAGGGUUGAAAUGACCCCUGCGCAUUAUUAUGACGAGUUUCCCUCGAGGGUAAUCUGCGCAUUUCAAUUGGAUUGAUUUCUCAUCUCACAUCUUUCAGGGAUUACAUUUUAAAGUUACGUCAUAAAUCUUGUAGGAUGUCUUUGAGGCUGCUUGUGAUUAUGCAAGAGAUCGAAGUAGUUUGCUCAGGGAGGAUUCAAAGAAAAUUCGUCUAGUUGUUAAUGCAUAAAUUCAUAUGCACAUGAGAGAGUUCCUUCGGGGUCAAAACAAGUAGAAUGAUAUGUUUUCUUGGCCAUGCAGAACUUACUGAACAAAAAGGAUGACAAGCCAUGUGUCGCUUGGGAUUGUUGCAUGGUAGGGUUGUCAUAAUUUGGGUUUUUCUUGCUCCGUUCGUAUCUGCAUUAAAGCUACCAGAGGCAUUUUCCAGAUUCAUUGCAAACCAGAUGGGGAAAAAAGAAAUCAAAGAUUCUUUCUACCUAAAAUAAACGGAGGUAUGGUUGAAGUCUACGAAAAGUCAUCCAAUCCCUACAUUGAGGGAUGAUGUACACUAGAAAAUACGAAAGGAGGAAAUUGUUGUGUUAUCUUCUCUGUAUAUUUGAUCUUUAAUUUAACUUAAUAUGACUGAAAUAUGAAUGAUGGAAGUUUAUAGAAUUUUGAUGGCAAGUUUUUUGUAAAAACUUGUAUCAAUUUGAUCAAAAUUCAAUUUUGUAAGUCCGCCUUUAUUUAUUUUUUUUUUUUUGACUUGCACAGCUUUGUCGAGUGCCCAUUUUGUGGCUUGUAGACAAACUGACAAGUGGAUCUAAUUAUGAACAUUUGCUGUUUGCAUUCGAAAAUGUAGCGCAAUAAUUUUUCCUAGUAAAAGAUAGAAAUGAAUGUAAAAACGUUGCUGUCCUUAUCAUAACUCUUCAUUGUAUUAAAGUAUUAUAAUAUUAUAUUUGUCAAUUGCACCGCAUAGUAUUAUAAUGUGGUCAACACAAAAUCUUAUGUGAUAGAAUCUGCAUAAACUAAAUCUGAGGGGACGCGGGUUUUAUAUCUAUUUUGAGACAAAAGAUUAUUUUUUGCCUUUCGUUCUCACCCUCAUUCUUAGAUUGGCUCAAGCAGUUCUUUCCGUCAUAAACUAAAUCUCAUGUGUUAUUUAUAAUUAUGUUAAUUAUUGUUGUUGUUAUUAUUGUUGUUUAAUAAUAAUAAUAAUAAUAUUAUUAUUAUUAUUAUGGCAUUAUUAAAAUAAUAAUAAUUAUUAUUAUUAUUAUUACCAAAUGAUAAUAAUUAACGAAGGGUAUUUUAAUAAAUUGAAAUAAUUCAUUCAAAUUUAAUGACAAAGUAAACACAAUAAUAGAAAUGAAGUUCAUUUCAAUUCCGAUUCCUACUAUUCAAGUAAAUAAUUUAUUUUGAUUCUUAUUCGUGAUUCUCAUCCCAACCCAAUCCUGAUUCCAGAGAUUAAUAAACGAACCAUAAAUUUUUUGGUGAAUGAAAUGGGGAAUGAAGGUAAGAUUUUUAAUGGGGUGGAGAAGGGGGCAGGUCUCUCUACCCCCACCACACCCCACCUCACCUCACCGCCAUUCCUAGUGUUAAAUGUCUAAAUUACUCUUAUGAUAUCGUUGAUGCUCAUCAUUAUUAUCCGCACCUUAAAGUUGAAGCUAGGGAUAAUUGGUGCAAGUAAUUUUUUGAACGGAGCUUGUUCACCUUAAAUUUGAAUGAUUUGGCUUGUUACUUUGUUACAAGUGGCUUUGCUUUUGAUAUAUCUAAAGACUUAUAAGGAAUUGAAGUAGUUGAGUAAUUUCUCAAUUAAGGGUAUGAUGGUUUCUUCAACCGCCAAGUUUCGACUUUCUUUUUCCGUCUUACUCUUCAAGAAUAAGCAGUCACCUGUUUUCUUGUUCAUUUCCAAUUAUACAUUUUUUAUUAAAAAUUAACUUUGGAAUUUUCAGGUUGAUUUGGUUUCUCAUAUCGUGGACAAAGAGUACGUUUACUUUUUUUUUUUAAUUGUUCGCUUUUGACUGCGUUGUCAAGACUUAUUAUUAUAAUUACCAAGUAUUGGAAGCUAAAAUGCGUGCAAGUCGGAAAUUUUGCUGCCGAAAAUCAGUGUAAAUUAAAAGACUUUGAUGAGAAACUAGUGAGUGCCCGUGAGCAAACCUUGUAAAUUGACUGGUGCUAAUCAUGACUUAAGGGCAAUUGUAAUUUGUAACCCCAAAUGCAGCAUGUUAUGUGGACAUAUUGAGGAAAGAAGCAUGAAAUAUUGGGUAAUGUUUUUAAUUCUUACUUGGUAUAUACUACUGAUUAAUCAAAGAGUCAUCAAAUUAUAAGUACCUUAAAGAAUAAACAGCAUAGAAGUAGCAUUUUGCCUUUCCCUUAUGAGUGGAAUGGAUAGGUCAAAACCCUAGUGAGAUUUUCCUUCCUGAUGACCAAUGAUUUCCAAUGCUUUUGUUUGUGGGGAUUUUUAUUUUCUUGGCUCAAUUGCUUAUUGCGUUAAUUUUUCCAAUUAAAUCAAUUUUAAAGAUAAAAGUUUAUUUGGGUAGUUACUUUUAAACCCCACCGAAAAAACUUGAACUCCAUGGUCGUCCUUUAUGAGAUGGUAGCUAGCAGGGAGAGUUCAGAAAAUAGAAGAAAUUCCGUAGAUAUGAUGAAGCUCAUAGGUUCACACCACGAGGUUUUAACAUUCCAGAAUGCAGCCAGCGGCAUAUGGCUCGAAUUUUAUUAUGCUUGAUUUCCAAUUUGACUGUCUUGAUACCAGGCUGAGAAUCAGUACCAUGCAGACACUAAUCAUGAGACCUUUAAGUUACUUCAGGUUACUCAUCUUUUUCUUUCAUGGUCUGUCUCCUUCUGUGUCUUUUUACUGGGAAAGUUACUUAAUACCGUUUUAUUGAUUUUCUUCUCAAAUUGAUAUAAUGAACGAGAGCAUGAUUAUAAAGGCAAUCAAGAAUACAUGUUUUUAAGGUACUUCAUUCCUUCGUUCCAUAUUAUAUUCUAUAUAUUAGCCAGGUCAUUCAAGACGUUUUAAAUAAAACAGAGUAUGAAAAAGUAGGAGAGGGAGCCCGACUUUAGGCUUCUAUAUGUAUAUUCUCCUUGCACUUCCAGGUGUUGACAAAGACUAUAAUUUUAUUGUUCUGUUUAUCUAAAACAGGAAGUCUAUAGUUUUAAGUCUCUUGGGAUUUGAUGCAUUCUUGUACUUUAUUCUCUUUCAAACUUGGUGCAUUAUGCUUGGUUUUUCAGUGACAACUGACUUCUACAUCUUAUACCUUUUUGUAUUUCCUUUCAGCUUACAAAGGUGAAAGCCUAUUUACGUUUGCAAGAGAUGUGACUCUCAAAUCAAUAAAAGCUAUGAUGCAACCUCCAAUUCCAAAAGACCUAGAUCCUUGGGGAUUCAGGCUUUUAAGGGCAUCGUGGACAAAGAGUACGUGUACUUAUAUUAUAAUUUUUUUCUUCUAAAUUUUCAUUUUUCGAAAAAGGUCAUGGUUGCUUGAACUGUCUAUUAGAAGCUUGCUGGAAGAAGCCUAGGCAGUGACCUUCAAUUGGCAAUGUUCCUCUUGUUGCUUUUCAAAUUGCCGUGUCUUUACAAGAAUUCAUAGUCUCUAUUUAUAGUUCCGGCCAUUUGAAUUCAGUUAGUGCAGAUGCUUUGUUCUGUUAUUCUCUUCUGCUCUACUGUUCUCUUCUGGUUUUCGAUUCCAUUUUGAUCUUCUGAAGUUACGGUUUUAGUUUGAAUUGACUUCUAGAACUAAUUAAUAAUAAUUCACCAAAUUGUUUUGUUGCUAAUAGAGGAACACCAUUACAGGGGUACUGUCUGGUUGUUCCUAUGACCGCCCGCCGAGCUGCUUAAGGAUUUUCCCUGAUAUUACUCCCCGAAAGUUUUUAAACUUUUGAUGAAAAUAGUCAAAAGUUUUAAACUAAAUUGGCUGAGCUAAAGUUGCAUUUAGUCUUUCUUAUCACCAUUUAUAAAAAAAAAAUUGUUUUGAGAUUUUAAAUAUAUAUACAAGAUACAUGGAAUUAUCAUAUAUUUAAAAAUUUCUGUUUGGAACUCAUGACUUCACUUAAGGAAUUUUUAUUAUUUGAAGAAUUUGAGAUUUUUCAUUGAAUGAAUUUUAUGAUUUUUAUGCAUAAGAACUCAAGAUUUUAAUUGACAAAAUUUUAGAAUUUUCCAUACUGACAUCUCGUGCUCCACAUUGAUUAGUUGUGAAUAAGGCUUGAGGAAUAACAUACCCUCAAGAGACUAUGCCUGAAUAGUAGUAUUAACAUUCUUGUACAAAUAACAGUAGUUGUAUUAGAACAAAAAGUUAAUCAUAUCCCUCAUGUCAUUGACUACGCUAGUAUGACAUUGAAUUAUGCACAAUUGAAUUACUCAACUACUAAAAAAGAAAUAGUAAUAGUAAUGUUUGCAUUAGAAAAGUUUCUUAUAGGAUAUAAAAUAAUUGUGCUCACAGAUUAUAUUACUCUUAAAUAUCUUUUGAUAAAGAAAGAUGUAAAGGUCAGACUAAUUCGUUGGGUGUUAUUUUUGUAGGAAUUUGACCUUGAGUUCAAAGAUAAGAAAGGCAUAAAAGAUGUGAUGGCAGAUCAUCUUUCUCGCCUCAAUUUUGACACAAUUCGAGAACGAUUAUGAUUCAAUGAAUCAUUUCCAGAUGAGCAACUAAUGAGUGUGGAGGUACUAUCAAUGGCAUGCUGAUAUAGUUAAUUAUAUUGUGACAAGGCAACUUUCAGAGAAUUAGACUAAGCAAGAUAAGGCCAAUUUUUUUUUGUGGAAACAAAGAAUUUCUUUUCUGAUGAUCUUUAUCCAUUCAAAUAUUACGUGGAUCAUAUUAUCAGACGAUGCAUCCCAGAGAGAAAAUUUCAAAACAUCCUUUCAUUAUAUUAGGAACAAGCUUGUAGAGACAAUUUUAGUGCUAGAAAGACGGCUGCUAAAGUUUUACAACAUGGUUUUUAUGCCCAACUUUAUUUUGAGAUGCUUAGACUUCUAUUCUUCAUGUCAUUGGUGCCAAAGCAUAAGAAGUAUUUCACGAAGGAGCAUGAUGCCACUAAACCUUACUAUGGCAGCUGAGUUUUUUAAUAUGUGGGGCAUCGAUUUUAUAGGACUAUUUCCUCUUUCUUUUGGCCAUCAAUACAUAUUAGUUUAUGUCAACUAUGUAUCAAAGUAGGUAGAAGCAAUUCUGUGCAGAACCAAUGAUCACAAAGUAGUGAUUGGAUUUUUGAAGAGCAAUAUUGUUUCGUACUUUAGACUCCCUCGACCAAUAAUCAAUGAUUGUGAUACCCACUUUUACAACAAAACAUUCAUAACUCUUUGGGCAAAGUAUUUCAUCACACACAAAGUGGCUAUCCCAUAUCAUUCACAAAUUAGUGGCCAAGUCAAUAUCUCCAAUCGAUGAAUAAAGUAUAUAUUAGAACAGACGGUGAAGCUAGACAGAAAAGAAUGGUCAUUGAAACUCGAUGAUUCACUAUAGGCUUAUUGAAUGGCUUUUAAAACCCCUAUUAGGAUGUCACCUUAUAGGCUAGUGUAUAAGAAAGUUUGUCACCUAUCUAUGGAAAUCGAGCAUUGUACAUACUGGGCUAUCAAGAAAUUUAACUUUGACAUACAACAAGUUAGUUUGGAAAGAAGAUUAUAGCUAGUAUUAAAGAGAUUCACAAUAAUGUAUAUGAAAAUGACAAACAUUACAAGUAGCAGAUGAAAGUCUUUCAUGACAAGAAUAUUAUGAGAAAAUCUUUUAUACCAGGUUAGAAAGUGAUGCUAUUCAAUUCUCGCUUACAUCUAUUCCCAAGUAAAUAACACUCUUGAUGGUAUGAUCCAUUCAUUAUUCGCACUAUUUUUUCAUGUGGGCUAUUGAAAUUAAGGAUCUAAAGAAUAAUGUCACUUUUAAAGUUAACGGUAAAAAAUUAAAGUCCUAUAUAGAGUACCAACCAUAUGAAGAUGACACCAGAGGAAAUUUGAAAGACCCAUCACAUCUUGAUUAGGUUUUUUUUUUGGGAUGAUUUAACUUUUUGUUAUUUUGUUUUAUUGAUUAAAAUUAUUUUGAUUGUUUCCUACUUUAGUGCAUUUGUUUAAAAAUUAUGCUCUCUUUUAUCAAUUGUAUUUUAGGUCAUGAGUAUCUCAAUGAGACAAAUCUUAUUCAUUAACCUUAACAAACUUCUAUAUAUGAAGCUUGACGUAAGUGGUCUGCUCAAAAUUUGUAAAUCACAUCCUGUUUAGGAUCUAUGACCACUAGUGUUAGUAUCCUAUUUAGAAAGACAAUUCAUAGAAAUAGAAGGUAGUAUAUGUGAUAUCCAAUUAGAACUUACGAUAAACUCAAUAAGGAGAUGGUGGUGAGUUAACGUCCUAGUAUUUAUAUUGUUUGUUUUUGUUUUGUUGUUUGCCUUCACAUGCAUUUUGUUUUUGCUAGAUUAAUUCUUUUGUUUGGUAUGUUGUUAUUUCUUACCCUAGUUAAAUGGCAGAUAAUGGUACUCUGUAACCAUUAAAGUCAGUUCUAAUAAUUUUCCAUAAUAACUGACAUUUCCAAGCCAAGGUAUAAAUAAGAAUAUAAUUCUUGCAAAACUUCAUAAGUGAUUUCCCUCUCUCCCUUAGAAUGCAAUCCUCACGAUCUUUAAAACUUGAUCCAAACUCUUACAAUUACUUAUGAGAAAUACCGUUCUUGUUCACAUCCGUUGGUUAAUUGAAACCAAAGUAUGAUUAAGAAGGGAGUUACCUCUCAAAUUUGUUGCUUACAUGUCUGGCUACAGGAAAGGAAAUUAUUCAAGAAAAUGAAGAGCUAGACGGCUCCAAGUUUCUUAUCAUAAGUGUGCUCGAACAAACUAUAAUGAAAGUUCUAGUAUAUGUUUGGGAAUGAUGACCUAUAUUAGGGAAGAAAAGAUUCAAUUUAUUAGGGAUGACUUGAAUAAAAAGUCAUUAGAUGGCAUCCUUUCGACCCUUAAAACGUAUCCCAGUGAAUACGUACAAUGUGAAAUUUCCUAGUUAUGGCUAUUAUUCCAAAAGAAAUAUGCACCAUAAUGUCUUCAGCAUUUUAUAUACACUACCAUAUUUACUAGUUUAUCAUAAAACUGGAUGAGAGCCUUUCUCGAUGUAAAAUAAAAGAAAGAUAUGAGCCAUAAUCACAACUAAUAGUAUAUAUCAAUUUGUUUUACUAUUCUUUUAUCAUUUAAAUUAUUGUUUACUAGUGUGAUUUAUCUCCAUUUACUUUUUUUUUUGCAAUUUACUUUUGACUCUUGAACUAGGAACUUCACGCGUCAUUUUACAAACACACCACUUCAUUUACAACCUUGUAUCAUUAUAUCUCUCACUAAGAUCUUUAAAUAUGAGUUUUUUUAAACACUCACAAAUUAUUUUUGAGAUUGUCUCAAUGGCAGCAACUUUGAAUAGACAAUUGAAGAACGUUUGCAUGCUUUCUGGCUUUCGUUAUGGAAAAUACAAAGUGUUUGCUCAAGCAGCUAUGGAUCUUGGUCAAGUACUUGUCUCAGAAACUACUUACACUAGAGGAAGUUAAGUGCUUGGUAUCAUCCUACACCCCUAUAACCUCUGGAAUGCCUGCCCGGCUCACCAAUUGCAAAUAAGCUAGUCAUCUUAAGUUUGCAGGAGAAAAUAACCAAGACGCAAAACCUUAAUAAUGCUUUAAUUUUCUUACCAAGAGAUCUUGCAAUUGUAGAGGCAUAAAUUAUAUUCGCAUCUUGGGCCCAUUCAAACAUUAAUAAAAAUUCAUCAAUUUUUUCUAAACUCUACUUCUUUUCUUUCAAAAGUUGAGGACAAUAUCUCAUUCUAGUCGGGGGACAAAAUAAUUGAUAGUUGUGUUGUUGUACUUUUACUAAUUUUUUUUUUAAUUUUUGAGUCAAAGAUGGCCGAAUGUGGAGUUUAAUUACUCUAGAAAUGUAUAUUCCUAGUCUUGUAGUUUAGUUAAAAAAUAAAAUAAAAAUAAAAUAAAAAUAAAAUAAAAAUAAAAUAAUGAAAUAAUACAAUUUAAGACACUUUUUGUGAUCUUUUGAUAUUGGAUGACGUGAUGGCUUUUAAAUUUUACAAUUUAUAUUAUCUUUAGCUUUGAAUUAUGUUACACCAUAUUUGCCACUUUGCAAAUUGAUGUUGGUUAGAUGUGUGAAUUGAGAAAUUGAUGAGUGAAAUUCAUUGAGCUAUUUGAAAGAACGUACAUGUCAAAAUAAGCUCCAAGUGAGUUUUUGAAUCUAUUAUUUAUCUUAGAGAGCAACCUUUUUCCAUAGCUUACUAGUUUAUUAUUUUAUACAUAAUCUCUAUCUUUUUCUUUUGAGUCGACCAAUGAAAAGAAUUGUGUGUUGUUACGUCUGAAAGUCUAUUGAACUAGUAGAUAUAAAGAUUAUUUAGAUCUUUAACAAAUGACAGAAGUUCAUGUUUGAUCCAUUUGAGUCUCUUCUGGCCAUCCUCAUUGUGAAAUAUCCAUAGUCACCCCUUUUGAACCUAUUAAAAAAAAAUUAUUUGUUAACGUAUUAUCAUAUCCUACUUCAAUUUAGAGCAUUACCAUAUAUUUUAUGUUUUCCAUCACUUAUCCAUCAUUGAAAAAAAAAAAUAUGAUAAUGAAAUAAGAAAAAAUAAAAAAGGGAAAAAUAUAUAAAACACAUUGCAAUUCCCAAAAGAUCUCUAUUGUUUUUCCAAGCAUAUAUUUUGUUCUUCUUAUUAUUCCUUCUUUUUUAGCCAUUUCUAUAGCCCACAUUACAAAAUAGUAAAAGUUCUUCUUGGUUUUAGAGAACUACAAUCUGAAGUAGAAGCUGAUAAUAUGGCCUAAAACAUGUGGUGAUGCAUAAAACUAUAUACAAAUAAUAUUAUUGGUAGAUCAAAAAAAGAGAAGAUGCAAAAUGAGGAAAUGCUUUAAUGUAAAAUGACAAGGCCAUUACAUCAGAGAUUGUGAUGAAAAGAAAAAAGGAUGAGAAAGAGAGAACAAGGGACGCAGCAGUGGCUUCAGAUGAUUGAUAUCAUAGUGCUGACUUGUUGGUGGUUUCAAAUAGCAAUAUAAGAAGUCAAUGGAUCCUUAACUCAAGGUGUUCCUUUCAUUUGUGUCCUGGUAGAAGUCUCUUUUAUGAGUCUGUGGAUGGUAGUAGAGUCUUGAUGGGAAACAAUAAUGUGUAAGAUUGUUGGUAUAGGGUCUAUCAAAAUCAGAAUGAUUGAUGGGGUUAGAAGAACUUUAUAUAAUGUGAGGCAUGCACCUAGGCUAAAGAGAAAUUUAUGCUCUUUAGGUAUGCUGGAUUGUCCAGGAUACUUCUUUAUGUCUAAAAGUGAUAGUUUGAGGAUUAUUAAAGGGACUGAAAUGGUAAUGAAAAGUGUAAAGACGAUUUGUCUUUAUGUGUUAGAAGGGUCACCAGUACCUAUGUUAGCUACAAUACCUGAUGUUCUAAAGUAGAUAGAACCAAGUCACGGUAUCUUAUACUUGGAUGCAUAAGUGUCAAGGGGAUGCAAAAGCUAAGCAAGCAAGGGUAUCUUUGUGGUGAUAAGAUAAAUGAGGUAGAGUUCAGUGAAAACAACAUUUUUGGAAGAGCACAUUGGUCCAAAUUCACAAAGGGACUGCACACAUCUAAACAAGUUUUGGAUUAUGUUCAUGCUGAUUUUUUGGGGCCUUGCUCAGGUCCUUUAUUUUAAUUAACUGUUGACUUUAAUAACUUGUUGCAUUAUCAUGCAUGGUAAUUGAAUAUACAACUAAUUGAUAUCAUCAUUUUUAGUAUUUUUUUUUAAUUCAGUUUAUGUCUUAGAUUUUUUAUCUUUAUUUAAUUGUUUUCCACUUAUUAUUAUAAAUAUUAUUAUUUUGUAAAGUUUUAUUCCUGUUAUUCAUAUUUAAAUGAGUUCUUUAAUAUCUAGGCAUAGCGUGCAAGUGAAAAAUAUGACAUAAAAAAAAGUGACAUAGAAAAUGAAAUAAUAAUAAAACAAAAUAACUAGUAAAAGCUAAAUUGUAUUGAAAUAUGAUUUUUUUUUUUUAUAUUUGUAAUUGUAAGUUGGUGUGACCUUAAUCCAUUUUUCUACUUGUUUAUUUAUUUUGUAAUGUCAUCAAAGGAUUUGGAUUCAUGGACAUUAAAAUUUGCUAAGAGCACCUUUCAUUUUAUAAAAUAUUUUAUUACAUAAGUGUCCUUAAAUCAAAUCACAUGUAGAAAAAUUACUCCCACCUCUUAAAUAUUAAAAUAGAAAAUAAAAAUGUAUUAAAAGACAGAUUAAAAAUAUAAAAAAGUGUAAAAUAUGCAUGUUAAAGUACUGUUUAUAUUUUAAAUAACCCUAAUUGGAGAUAGACAUAAAAUAAAAAGGAUUUAGAUUUGGUGUUUAGCUAAAUUUUUAUUAGCUUUUGUAAAAUACUGUGACAUGUGCUUUUUAUGAAUUUUAAUGGUUAAGAUUUAGUUUCUCUUAAUAGCCUAAUGAAAAUAAUAUCGUUUUCUUGGUUUUAUUCCCCUUUUUCUUUCAAUUUUGUGGUUUUUUUUUAUUUCAUGAACGUAUGGAAACUAUGAAAUCGUUUUUUUUAAUCAUCCUAGAUAUUAAGAAAUUCCAAAUAAAUUCUAACUUAAAGACUUUUCAAGCUUUUGCAACCGCUCAUACUGAGAAUAGCAAACUUUUUUAGAGGUGAAAUCAGCGAGGGCUUGGAGUUUGAGUAAGAACAUUGCUAGCUCCAACCAAAAUGAGAAAGGCCAAGAGAAGCAAAUCAUUAAUUAGUAUGUAUAGAGACUGAAAUAGAACAAAAACUAUCAAAAAGCUUGGCUAAGCAUUGGACUCAAAUCCUAAAUAGGACAAAUGGUCCUAAUAAAGUAAUUAUAAUCGUUUGAUUAUUAUUAAUAUUUAACUGAAUGCUCUCUCAUAAAUUGAUUCAAAGAUAUACAAUAAAUUAGUACUACAAUAUAACACACACAACAUAUCAUAUGCUUAUAAUAAAUUAAUUCUUUAUUAUAUUAAAAAUAUAGGAUCAAUUUCUCAACAAUUGAUGGUUAUAACAAAAUUAUUCAUAUGGCAAAAGACAAAUAACUAUUUAAAAAAAUCAUUGGCAUCCAAUAACAAGCUCUAGGGGUAUAAGGCGUAAUCAUUCUCAAGGGAGUUAGGAUAGAUUCUUUAAUUGUAAGUUCCAAGCAGCCGCCACUAUUUGGUGAUGUUGCAAAAUUGGUACACAUUGAAACAUAUAGUUUACAUUCUUGAUCAGUACAUUGAUGCUUGAAAUAAGUAUGUAUUAAGUGCUUGCUACUAUAAGGAAGUCAGGAUGAUGAAACCAAGACUUUUUGACAUUUUAUAUUUUCUAAACUGAAACAUAAACAACCUAUUGAGAAUUAAAAGAGAGGUAAAGAAUAACAAACAUAUGAGGCUCUGCAUAUAUAAAUGAAUAUUGAGAAAUGAGGUAUAAUGACCUUUAUGAGGUUGUUGAUUCUAUUUAUGAGUAUUUAAUAAGUCAGGAUGAUGAAACCAAGACUUUUUGACAUUUUAUAUUUUCAUAACUGAAACAUAAGCAACCUAUUGAGAAUUAAAAGAGAGGUAAAGAAUAACUAACACAUGAGGCUCCGCAUAUAUAAAUGAAUAUCGAGAAAUGAGGUAUAAUAGACUUUAUGAAGUUGUUGAUUCUAUUUAUGAGUAUUGAAUAAGUUAGGAUGAUGAAACCAAGACUUUUUGACAUUUUAUAUUUUCUAAACUGAAACAUAAACAACCUAUUGAGCAUUAAAAGAGAGGUAAAAAAUAACAAACACAUGAGGCUCUGCAUAUAUAAAUGAAUAUUGAGAAAUGAGGUAUAAUGAAUUUUAUGAGGUUGUUGAUUCUAUUUAUGAGUAUUGAAUAAGUCGUAGUGCAUUUAUUUGCAUUAACUAUUGACUUUAAUAUCUUGUUGUGUUCUCAUUCAUGGUAAUUGAAACAUACAUCUAAUCAAUUUUAUCAUUUUUUUAGUAUUACUUUUUAUUGAAUUUAUCACUUGGUUUUUUUUCUCUUUAUUUAAUGCUUGUUAUAAAUAUUGGGAUUUUGUGAAAUACUAUUCAAAUUUAAACGAACUCGUUAAUCGCUAGACAUAGCGUGCAAGCGAAAAAUAUAAUAUAAAAAAUAGUGACACAUAAAAUGAAAUGAAAAUAAUAAAAUAAUUAAAGAGCAUGGUACUCAAACGUAACCAAAAGAAAACCGUAGAUUAACCAAAUUUUAAAAAAAUAUUGUGAAUAGAAAAUCCGAUCCUCUUCUUCUCUCCAUUUCUGCUAAAGAAUAUAUACAAAUAUAUAGAAGGAAGAGAAAGCAAGAAGGAGAAAAUUAACAGUGUCAAUACUUCCAUCUGCAUCAAAUUCAAGCAUUAAAUCGUGCUCCACCACAUUGUCUCCUUACAGACUUAGGCUUAUUUCCCUUCAGUAUCAGCUCAAAUAUUGAUGAUUCCAUGAAUGAGCAUUAAAGAUGCUUUUAUUUUUAUUAAUUAUUAACUUGCACAAUUAAUUAAUUUUGUCAUUUUUAGUGUUAUUAUCUUUAUUUAAUUUAUAUGUCAGAUUUUUCUCUUUAUUUAAUCUAUUGAAAUUAUUAUCAUUAUUGUGAAAGCGUUAUUCCAAAUUUUUGGAUUUAAAUUAAACUCUAUUCGUAGCGGGCAAAAAGUGACAUCACAAAAAAGUGACAUAGAAAAUAAAAUAAAAAUAGUAAUAAAAUAAAAUAACUAAUAAAAACCACAAUACUGGAAUAGAGUCAAUAGAAAACCGCAAAUUACAUAUAUAGACAAAUGACACCUCCUCUAAAAUAUUAGAGUAGAAGUAUUGACAGAAGUUUAGAAAUUAGGAAGGGUAAAAUAUUGGUGUUAAAAGUGUUUUUAAAGUACAAAUAAUUACACCCUAGUAGCAGAUAGAUAUAGUAUACAAGGGUGGGAAUGCUUGCACAUUUAAAUUAUCUUGUACAUUCCCUUAUUUUGCACACUCAUUUAUUAAUUUUAAAAUUAAUUAUACAUUGUACACUUUUUAAAAUGUCAAAAAAUUUCUUGCUUUUUAGAUUAAUUACCUUUAUUUACUCUCACACUCAUGAGAAAACACACUAAAAUAAUUUCUCCAAAUAUUCUUUUUAUUAAAAUUUAAUUAUUUGGUUAGAUAAUCAAUUUUGCCAAUAAACAAAUAAUGAUCGACAACAAAACUGGAUGAGCCAACAACUCGCAUCAAAAGAUUUCACCAUUCAAAAGAUCAUAAGAAAUAAACAUUAUAAAUCAAACAAAUAAAUCAAUUAAGCAAAAAUGGUUAUCACUUACAUCACAUUGCUUUUAGCAGGCUCUUGCUUGCUAGUUGGAAAGACAAAAAAAGGGCAUGAAAGUAGCAUCCGAAAGAUUAUAAUUAAACAAUUGUACUUUCUGUGUUACAAGGCUAUGAAAAAUUAAUACUUUUUGUGUUGUAAACUAGAGAUCAAAUGGAUCACACAUACCUCAUUGAAAUUAAAAUCUUCAAACAUGUUGAGCUACUCCUCUGUAAAUAUUUGUUCAAGGGGUUGGGAAGAAAAAUUAUAGGGGUCAAAUGGUAAGAAAAGUUAACAGAUAUAGAUAAAUUACAUACAACAAAUCAAUACCAUGUAACAAACACAAUAUAUCACAUGCUCAUAAUGGAUUAAUUCCUUCUUUUAUUAAAAUAUAGCAUCAAUUUCUUUACAAUUGAUGGUUAUUGCAAAAGUAUUCAUUUGGCAUAAGAGGAAAACUAUUUAACAAAAUCAUGGGUUAUAGAUGAUGGUGUAGUCUUGACUAUCAUGGUGAUACUUAUUGUAACAUUCUUCUGGUGUAAGUCCAAAGCACUUGUCGCUAUCAGGUGAUAUUGCAGAAUUAGAUUCUUGGCCGGUACUAGUGCUUGAAACAUGUGAGUUUUCAGUGCUUGCAACCAAAAGCAAAGCCAAGAUAAUGAAACUGAGACUCUUCGACAUGUUAUAAUUUCUAAACUUAAUUGUAAACAACUUAAUUAAAAUUAAAAGGAGGUGAUGCAUAAGAAAUACAUGAGGCCCUAU